CGUAAUCGGAAAUGAAGGUGUGAGAUAUUGGGCUGCCGACGGGCGUAGCUUAUUUCAAAAUUGUAAGAACUAGAGCUUCCAAAUGAUCCUUUUCUUUCCGUCAAAAGGUGCAGGAGUGGACGCCACCAGAACGGAAAGGCUAAGAAAGGUGCAGGGGCGCGGCGACCAAGAAGCAUUUAGAGGUGGAGCUUUAACUUUGAAGUUUGAAGUGGGUGGUAAAUUUUGAAAUGGUGGGACCAACGAAUAUUAUAGAGGAAGCUACGCGGAAGCAACCGAGUUUCUCUUUAUGUGCAAGUUGUCAUAUGAUGAUUGAGGAUAAGCCAAUUUCGGUCCUGAGAUAGAAGUGAGAAACAGUUUAACUCACUGAAUUCCUCACUUCCUUGGGGGCACUGGGCAGGAAAAACCCUAUUCUCCUGGCAGUAUGCUUUAGAAUCUGAGGCUUUCAUAUUGGGUAUUCAUAUUUUGGUGGGGGAGGCGGUGGACUUGGUGGAAGAUGGCAGUGUUAUUGGCUAUGGUGGUUGAUGCUCUGGGUCUGUGUGUGACCACACUUUGGGAUCUGCAGGAGCGGAGGUUCUCUACCAUUUUUGAGACUGUGAGUGCUGCAGCAAGGUCAGUUACCAUGGCACUUGUGUUUUGUUUCUUGUCCGUACAUAGACACCGUAUCGGAGACUUUGGUGUGGCCUUCCUUUGAUUUUCAAUCUUAUUGCUUCUCUUCUUAUAAGCUCGAUUGUCAAGUUAUUUGGCAAUCUUUAGCCAGAUUUAGCAUUUGGCGUUGAUGAAGAGUGCCUUCAUUUGAUUACUGUUCAUUGUGCCUUAGCUGAACAGAUCUGGAUAUUGUAUCUGAUAUUAUUACUCACAGCGGUUGAAUUCAGAUGUCUUGUGGUGUGGCUACUUUCAUCCAGUUUUAGAAGGAAAUGUAUUACGGCCUUCAACAGUGUAGCUCUUUUCCAUUGACCUCAGUAAGAGGUGAAGUCUAAGCCCCAGAAAUAUCUGAAAACUGGAACCUGAUUUUACCACUGAAAGGCUUUUUGUUAUUAUACCCUAAUGAAUCUGAUAUUUGAGCAAAAUUUUAAGAGGAUAAACUGGUGGUAUUUGACAGGGUCUCAUGUCGAGGAUCCCUAGAUUCCUUGUCUGUCACAAAAUAGCCUCUUUACAUGAUGUUCUUUCGGUUUAGUCUUGGUUUCUUUUUAUUUCCUUGAAAAACGGAGAUCUGACCUCCAUAUUCUUGCUGGCAACUGCUCAUCCUCAUUCUUACAAUUGACCGGCCCCAUCUCUUAUGGACUCUCGUCAUGUGACUUUUACCUAUUAGACAAACAAGUGAGCCUACAUACAGCGACAUAUCAUCUUGAAGCAAAUGAAAAAAUACAGCAACAGCUUAUAACUAUUUUAAGCUUAAAUGUCAGUCUCCACUCAAUUUAACUUUUCGGAUAAUGUGUUUUUGAAGAAUGGCUUUAUGUGAAGUCCUGGAGAUGUUGGAAGCAUCUUCAACCAUUCUCAGUUCUGAAUGUAUAAGAUGCACCAGGCAAAUAAGUUAAAGUUGCCUGACCACGUUAGUGCAGACAAAUCAUAUCAUGGCAGUUCAAAAUCGUAAAAUAGGCUCACUUGCCUCUCUACAAGUGCAAGAGUUGUGUGUUUAAGCAUUCUACAUAAAUUUGAGAAAUCUUAUUACACGACCAAAAACUUAUUACUAAAAUCAAAUCAUAAACCAAUAGUUUAUUGCUAAAAUUCAAAUCAUACACAUUUGUUAUCCCUGAACUCCCCUAUUUUUAUGUGGACCAACUAAUGAAAGCCAUAGUACAUGAGACAACAUUCAAAACAUCUAACAAUGAACAGUGACAUUAAAUGCUGAAGCAUUGACAUUAAUUUCAACUCCAAAGCCAGGAAACGAGUCCUUAAUGGAGUAAAUUUCCAUUCUUGCAACAUAUCAUUUGACAGGUCAGAAGAAGCUUUGACAGCUAGGAAUCCUGGAAUUUCUCCACAAAUUAAGCCUUCAAGUAACCUUUCUCUUCCAAGUAAGAUAUUACUGUUUUAGCCAUAUCACUAGGGGAAGCAUAGUCUCCUCCAGUCUGUUGCAAUACUACCUACAAAAUAAAAUCUGUUUUUACAUUCUUUUUUAUUAAAAUGAAUAUCAAGGAAUAAAAAAUUUUCAUGAGCUACAAAAUACAACCAUCAAUUAUGAAAUAUAUCUCUACAUUAAAACUUGGUAUCCUCAAUCUAAUAGGGGUUUCAAAUUUAUUUGACUAAAGGAAUAAAAGAUUGUCGUUGGAAACCAGAAAAGCCCCAUUCUACACAAUUUCAUAUUAAUUAUUAGCAAAUUUUUUACCAGGGAAAUUCCUAUUUCUUUCACCACAUGACCAACCAUCUAGUCAGAAUAUUGCCACUGACUUAGGCCUUUCCUAAACUCACAUGCGGCAUUUAGACACCUCAAGCCACUUGAUGUUGCUAAAUCAGUCUUUCCUUCAUCUUAGCUAGUUAUGUUAAGCAACACUACUCGACUUGGUAGAUAGGAUGCACAAUGAAGCUACAAAGCUAUAUAUAAGAGUUAUUUGAAACUCUCUGCAAUGCCUCACACACUUCCCUUGUCUUCCAUCCUUGUGUAGAGAUGUGUAGACAUCUCCAAACUUCUCCAAAAUGUUCCAUACUCCUCCACUAGUUAUGUACAAGUGUGGAUUACUCUAUAAGGCUCCAAAAGCUUCCUACUUUCAUAUAUAAACUCAAUGGAUGAUCAUUUAAGCAAAUUGUGACAAUAUGCUUAAAAUUUCUUUUAAACCAGAGUCUUCUAACUUGUUCAUGUUAUUAAAAGCAUAACUAGAUAUCUUUUAGUGCAUGUUCAUGAUUUUGUAAGUUCAAGAAUGUUAAGCAUAUCUAGAUUUUCUCUAAGGAUAUAAAAGAAAUACCUCACAAUUCAAUGGUGGCUCAUAUGGAUCAUCAAUCCCUGUAAAACCUGAAAAAAUCCAAAGUAAACAAGCAUUUAACCCAUCUAUUCUUUACUGUGACAACUACCCAAGUGGAGGUGGAUACAAGCAGUAGCAACAUGAUAAAUCCAUCCACUAUUGAAAUAUAAGCAUUAUUACAAACAAGGCCAAUCAAUGAGAAAGCAGGCUUUAAUAUUAGCAAAAAGGAAAAAUAAAAAAAGUAAAGAAAAUGAUAAGUUCAUUUUUUUUUUUUCAUGGAACCAACUUUAGGUAUUUGGUAGCCUUGCAAUUUGACCCUAAGUAAUUAUUCAGGAGUGCAAGCAAGACAUAUAAUUUUAUGAACCACGGUACUCUUAGUGUGAUAAACCUUUUUCAAUUUGCAGUUAAAGCCAAGACAUAUGAUGACAAUCACGUUAAAGCCAAGCAUAUAAAAAGAACAAGGCUGUCCCCGGAAUUUCCAAAUGGUAGACCCUUAACUUAUGUUAUAUAUCAUCAACAUGAGAUCCUAGGAAACUGAAGAUUACAGACCAAAAUAUCCAAUAAAACAGGAAAGAAAAGCAAUGAUUAUUCAGAAUCCCAAUUUUCUAUUUACGGACUCCUAAAAAGGAUACCUCUUAUUUUUCCAGCUCGUGCAAGCUUGUAUAGACCCUUCGGGUCCCUUUCCUCACAAACCUCUAGGGGGAUAUCCAUGAACACCUAUGAAAGGUAAAACCUGUCAGUUUAUUACUAGAAAUUGGGAACCUUACUCUAAUUUCGAGGUCAACUCAUUGUUAGUGGUAGUGAUGAACCUGUCUACUCAUGGUCCAAACUGUAAGGAGCACAUACCUCAAUAAAAUUUCCUUCAGACAACAUUGCACGGCAAGCAUCUCGAUCCUUUCUGUAUGGAGAUAUCAAACUAGCAAUGCAAAUAAUACCCGAGUCCGAAAAUAGCUUGGCUACCUCCCCUAAUAAUCACAGAGGUGUGGAAUUUAAUUGACUUUCAAAAGAAAAAGAAAAAUGAAAAGACCAAAACAAUAAUCACCAAUCCUUCGUAUGUUUUCAGCACGAUCUUCUGCUCUAAAACUAAGAUCACGGUUUAGGCCAUGUCGAACAUUAUCUCCAUCAAGGACGUAAGUUAGGUUUCCCCUGGAGUGCAAGGCUCGACUCAAGGCACAAGCCAAAGUGCUUUUUCCUAAAAAUUAGAUCCCCAUGGUUUAAGUAAAAAAGAGAGAUUAUUAAGAGAGACAAAAGAAAUACUAGUAGUAAAAGGAGUAAGUUACUCUGGCUAAAACUUACUAGAAUUUAAUGGUAAUAGUAGUAGUAAUAUUCCAUUUUAAUCUUUGUAUCAGACCAAUUUGGCUCAUAUUUGGACUUUGGACCUAAAUUUAUAGGACUCUUUCGUAUUUUCAUAAGCACAAUGAUAAAAAGAAAUGAAGCCGCCAUGCAUACUCUACUAAUAAAAUGAGAUGGUGGGAUGGUGGGAUGGUGGGAUGGUGGGGAUUCUUUCAUAAUAGUUGUAAUCAAAGUAACCAUAUCAGUUAUAAAUAACCCUGCAUGUGCCAUGGCCAUGGUCUGUAUCUUCUGCAACUAGUCUGAAGCCUAAAGAAAGUGAGAUUGUGUUAGGUAGACAGGUUGCUGAAAACCUUUCGGUAAAGUCACAAAUAUGGAUCCUGAGAAUUAGAAACCACAAUAUUUGGCCAUGAGAAUAUGUAAUUAUACGGGAGAUAUCUGCUAGUUCUUCCAUUCAUAUAAAUAUGCUAGCUUUAAUUUUUCUAUUAACAAAGCAUUGAAUUUAGGGCACGAGUUUUUAGUGCUCCUUCAUAAUUUCACCUAAUACCUCUCGUGAUCUCCCCAUCUCUUUCAUCCUUCAUUUCUGUUUCCCAUGUCUGGCCAUCUGGCCGAUCAAAGCAGCGUUCUUCCGCAUGGAAAGCAUAUAUCACAGAAGCCCAAAGCCAAGUAACAAUAAAACCAGGAAUCGCAGGUAAACAGUCAACAUUAACAAACCUGAACCACUGAGGCCAGUAAUCCAUAUGACACAUCCUUUCUGCUGAAGUAGCCGUUGCCUCUCGAGUUUAUCUACAGAACAUUCAUGCCACACAAUGUUUGUCGACAUACCAUUUUUGCCUGGUUAUGUCAAUCAAUAGAAAUUAGAACCUAAACAGAUCCAAGUAAUACCGAAUUCCAUGCUCAGAUGAAAAUAACAAUAUUAGUAUUCGUGCGCAAAUAUUCAAUGAGCUCCGUACCAAGAAAAGCAUCUAAUAAUCUCCACAAAAUCAAUUUCCCCAAGAACUUCAACAACUUCCGAUCGAUCAUCAAGAAUCAGACAAAUCUUACAUCAAGUUUGAUGCUCAAAGUAACAUAGCACAAUCAAACAAAGAAAGUGAGCAAGUGAGAAUACCUCCAGCACCAUCAGCUUGGCCACUGACAAACGCCUUCACCGCCUUAAUCGGCGUCACGUGCCUCGAUCUCGCCUUCACUGCAUCAAACCGAACCGCAUUCCACCUCACAAACUUGGCGCUCGGCGACGACAGGGAAUCCGAAAAUCCAAGUUUUGAAUCCGAGAACGAACAGAACCUCCACGGGGCCGCGCCAAUCACAGCCAUCUUUCCGAGUCAAUAGGAGAAAGAAAGAAAGAACGAAACUCAAAGCGGAAUAUGUAAAAAAAGAUGCUCUAAGAUAUAGCAGCCCAUUUAUAGCGGGUAAUGGCAAAGCGGACUGAGAUUUUUUGUCAUAACGGUUUUCGGUUUUAAAAUUGGAGCUGCUGAAGCCGACGGAACGCUUCUACAACGGGAUUGAAGAAGAACGGUGGGUGGCAAAUUCGAUUUCUCAUCUCUCCUCCAUCCUUAAUUCCAAUUUCGCUUCCACGAAAAGUUUCCACUGAAUUCAAGGAGGCAUUCCGGAGGUUACAACAUGGCGAACUAUUUUUGAAUGAGACCUUGCCUCAAUGACUACCACGCGUUUUGUGGAGCGUGAUGCUAAACGCCUGUUUGGUUGAACAUAUCAAUAAUCAAUUGUAUUAUUGAAAAAUAUGAACAAACAGAAUUAGAGGAUCGCUUACGGUAACGAUCAUUUUUUAUGGUAACGAUCAUUUUAUUAGGUAUUAAAGAUAUUAUUUUCUAAAAUUCGCUUUUAUUUGCCUAAUCUACUAUUUUUGUUUAUCUCCAUGCAUGUUUAUUUGAUUUUCUUGAUAAAGUGAGUAAUUCAUAACAAUUAAUAUUAUUAUGAAUCAAAAUGAUACAAAUGAAAAAGUCUGAUUACAAUAUCAAAAUGUAUUUUUUGAAUACCUAUUAAAAAAAAUAUUACCAACCACAUCAUUUCCCAUUCCUCCACCCCUAAAAUGUCUUUUUAACAUAUUUCUUAUUACAAAUUCUAAUAUAAAUGAAUAAUGAUAUAAAAAUAUAAAAAUAAUAUUAAGGUAUAAAAAAUGAGUUUUAGUUUUUAUAGACAAAGAAAUUAAUUUAAAUAUAAAUUAAUAAAACUAUUUAUACUAUAUAACUUAUUUGGUUGUAUAAUAAUUUUUUAGUUUCUUUUAAAGCAAGAGAUCCAUAUUUGUUAAUCAAUCCCUUAUGUUUAAAAUGAAUUUUUUAGUUUUCUUUAAAUACGUUACAAAUUUAUCUUUAUAAUUUACCCAACCCCUUAAAAGGAGAGAAAAAAAUAUCCUAUUUGUUAAAAAAUAUAUAUAUUAAUUUGGCUUAAAGUUAAAAGUUAAAAAAUAGGAAUUUAAAAAAUAUUAGGAAUGAUUGUUUGUUCAAAUUGCUUAUGUUAUUUAGGAGUACUUCUUUAUAAAACUAAUCUUUCACUUUUUUUCAAUCAAAAAUUCAUUUUGGACAAAAAUGUCCUCAACUUGUUCUUACAAAAAUAACCUUUUAUUUUAAAAUACAUGUAAAGAAUAGAAAUAUUAAAGGGUAUUUAUGUCAAAAUUGAGUUACACUUCAAAUUUAAAAAGGGAAGAGAUUAAUUUUACAAAUUUGAACUCUUUUCAUCCAUUUUAAUAAAUUAAUCCUAAAAAAUUUAAAAAUACGUUAAAAGGAAAUUUUUCCAAAUGAAGGGAUAACACUCCCAAAUUUAAGACAAAUCCCAUAUGGAAUUCCUUAAAUAUAAUAAUUACAGAUAUUAUAAGUUCGAAUGUCAAAAUGAAAUUAUAAAACAAAAGAGCAGAUAAAUAAAAUAUUAUUUUAAUCAAAAUUAUUGCAUGGGUUCCUACACGGACUGUUUAAGUUUGAUUAGUUUAUUAUAACUAUGGACCUAUUGUUAUAUCGAUUAAUGAGUUGGAUGAAAUAAAAUAUUAUUUUAAUAAAAGUUAUUGACAACACAAAUAAUUGCAUGGGUUCCAACGCGAUGUGCAUGAUGAGCUGGCAGGUAAGUGUUACAAAAUUAUAAAAGUUAAGUUAGGUGGAUAUGUUAGAAAAGUUAGAAUAUAGUAAGAAUCUACUAACUUAAUAUAUUAUAUAAUUUAAAAAAAUUUUAAAUAUUUAUUAAGUGUCACUUUAAUUUCGGAUAUGACACACGUGGUUGCCACUUGUAUAUGGAAGGAUGAUAAUACCUAAUUUUUUAGGGUAGGUGAGUUGAAAACAGAUGAAGGUGAAAUUAUAGUGAAAGCUGACAUGGCGCCCGCUGAUCAGUAAUUUAUUCCUUUUUUUCUGUUUGAGUAAUUUUAUGAAAGAGAAAAAAAAACUUGUAAUUUAAAUAAUAAUUGAAUAUAAAUAUAAAAAAUAUAUAUUUUAAAUAUCUUAUUUUAAUUUAGGUACAAAAAUUAUUUAAUGUUUAAUAAAAUUCUAUAAUAUUAAAUAUUUUUUAAAAAUUUUGACUGCAACUCCGAUUUAACAUGAGCUAAUAUUAAACAUAAAAUAUUAUUUAAAAAUGGCUUUUAUUUAUCAAAACUUGAAUUUUUAUUUUUUAUUUAUUUUUAUAUUUACUCUAUUUCUUGAUGUUUUGACAUUGUACUUUUACAUUUGAUAACUUUUUUUUGAAGACUUUGUUGGGAUGACAAAAAUUUUAAAGAAAAGGAAAUAGUAAGUAAAUAAAGAAAAUUAAAGAAAAAUAAAUAAUUAUUUUAAUCUCAAUAACUUUUAUUUUUUAACUUUAUCUUCUUGAAUUUAAUAGGGGUAAGAAAUACUGAAAAUCUAACUCAAUCCAAAUAUGAUUCAUUUAAUAUUUAAUAAUGANGAGUGAUGACAUUGAUAUUNNNNNNNNNNNNNNNNNNNNNNNNNNNNNNNNNNNNNNNNNNNNNNNNNNNNNNNNNNNNNNNNNNNNNNNNNNNNNNNNNNNNNNNNNNNNNNNNNNNNUUAUAUGAAUAAGUGUGACUGAAUUAAUUGAAAAUAAUGACUUAAAAGGUAUAGAGUAGACUUAUACAAAAAUAAAAAAUAAACUAAUAUAGAAGAUAAUUUUAAUUAAAAAUCUAUAUAAAAAGAAAAGGGAAAAAAAAUAGGGUAACUAGCGUUGAAAAAUGAAAAAUUAUAUCAGGGUGCUUAAAUGGCUUUAAAUGGAGCUCCAAUACUUAAUAGUAGAUGUUAAUCCAAGGUUUCUCCUAAUUAAGUGUUGAUAAUUACAAAAUAAAAGUUAGACUUACAAAUAAUUCAAAUCAAGUAAAGUUCUAAGUUUCAUUGAUGACUUCCUAAAGUAUACUUUGAAGAGAUUCAAAAGACAAGAAGAGAAGACAGAAAGAGAUGGAUUUGUGAAAAUUCAUAAGGUCUAGGAACUUUUGUAAAAUAAAUCUUUUGAGUGCAUUUAGGAUUAAAUUAUUUUUCAUGCACUUGCAACACAUUCAUUUAUAGUUAGUUUUUCUUAAAAAAGAAGCUUAAAUGUUUAAAAUUAAAUGGACAUGUUUUUCAUAUUGAAACCUUAGUUUAAAUCUUUCAAAAAUACCCUAUAAAAGGUUUCUAAAUAAAUUGCUUAAGUUAUUGGAAAGUUAAGACUAAAAAUAAAAAAAAUAAAAAAAUUGCAUUGUUUUAAGAUCAAUCAAUCAAGAAAACCCUGAACGAAUCGAAUCAAUUAGGAAUCAGUUAAACAUGUUAGGUUUUCCAAGUCAAGAACGGAACAAGUAUGUUUAAAAUCUUCUCUCUCUCUCUUCCAAAACCUUAGUGCUACUAGUAGAGCUUCUAGUUUUCUUGGUCAAGGGUCGAUCGAACCUUGAAAAGGACAAAUGAUCACCUAUUGUAUAUUAAAUGCUCUAAGGACUAGUUAAUCAUUCCAAUCAAAACUCAACUAGUCCAAACAUAUUUUUGCAAUUUCAAGUGUCUAAGGUUGUUUUCUCUUAACCUCAAACAUAUAAAUUGGAGAGCUUAUAUGUAUUUAUUGGGUAAAUGACACUUAUAUUAGCAUGUUUACCUACCAUUUUCUCUCAUGCAAAACUCUCAAUUCAAGUGUAUAUAUUCUUUCACUUGCAAAUCCAUUUAAUGCACUGUCUUAUUUCAUCCCAAUUUUUUCUUAUAUUGAACCGAACUUGUGCUAGGAUUCAGAGUUGUAAGACUUCAUUUAUCAAUCAAAUAUUAAGUGGUUGAAACUUCAAGUUAUUAUUGAACUUGAAAGGGGUGUAGUGUCCAUUGGAGUCAUGAAUUCAAGCAUACAAAAUUGAAAGUGUGGUUUAAAGUCUUAGCUAGUGGAACCCUCACUCAAAAGGAAGAUUGAGAAGAGUGGACGUGGGGGACAUUUGCAUCUCUCUUCCCAUUACUAUUUACCUAUUUACUUCAAUUAUUGUUUAAUUUGAAUAGUUUUUUAUAAGUUUUCAAUGGCUCAAUUUACCCCUUUUUCUUUGAUGUUUUCUUUAAUUAGGUUUGCUUUAUAAUGGAUUUACCCAAAGUUACUAGAUUCUAAAGUUCUUCAAGUUUUCUUAACUCUCUUUUUUUACAAAAUAAGAUUUUUAAAUCAUGUCUAAGACCAUUAAGUUUUAUCAUAUAUAUAUAUAUAUAUCUCAUAUGAUACAAUUUCACACGGAUGCGCCUAAGCUUUAGGUCAUCACUCACUUGACCCAACAGUCUUACAAAGAAAAAUCAAAAUUCGUUGAGUUUAUGGUAGCAAGAUUGCAUCUCCUUGAGUUAUUGAGGAAUCCAAUAAAGAGCACCUAAGGUAAAAUUGUGUACUUAUUUCUUCAUAUUAAAUGGAUUUAACUUUGCAGUUGGCUAACCUUAUGAUUUUUACAUUUACAAANNNNNNNNNNNNNNNNNNNNNNNNNNNNNNNNNNNNNNNNNNNNNNNNNNNNNNNNNNNNNNNNNNNNNNNNNNNNNNNNNNNNNNNNNNNNNNNNNNNNUUUGUGAGUGUUUUCGUAUAAAUAUUAUGUCUUUUGUGGGAUUGAAUAUUCUUUACUUUUAUUGAUUAAUUAUAUCCCAACAAUAGAACUUUAAAUUUUUUACAUAUAUUAAAGGACUAACUAUUCACCACCCUUUUAGGUAGUUCCACCAUGUAAGAUUUUAGGUUGUCAUACACAAAUAAUUAGUUAGCAUUACUUUAAUUUAUUAAUAUGAUUAUAACACACGUUUAACCUCUUUAAGAUUUUAAAUUUAUAAAAAUACUAUUUUUAAGAUAUCUUUUUAGUGGUUUUUAACUUUUAAUUUCAUAUGAACGGACUUUUUCUAUUUUUUGUUUUUAAAAAUAAAAACUAAUAGUAAUUUCUAUUUUUUAUUUAAAUAAAUAAAUAAAAAUAGUAGUAAUUUCUAUAUAAGAAAUGGUAAGUUUUAUAUAUAAAAAAUAUGAACUUAUCUAUAUACUUAAAAAUCACUUUUAAAAUUUUUAAAAUUUGAGGUAAUAAAAUUUUUUUAACACCUUUAUUUUUUAAAACAAUUUUUAAGAUAAGUUUGAAAGAAUUCUUUCUUUAUUUUAAUUUUAUGUUUUUAAAAACACAAAACAAAAAAAAAGUCCAUUGACCUCUUAAUUAUUUAAUUUUCAAUAAUAAUAUAUUUAUAACAUAUAAAAUAAAUUAAUAUACACUUGCUUAUUUAAUAUUUUAAACAUAAAAUAUUUCUAAUAUUUUAUAUUAAUGAAAUAUAUAAAAUUUUACUCUAAUUAGUUAUCUAAUUUUUUAAAUAUAUAAUAUUUAUAAUUAUAAUUAUUUAAUUUAUAUUUAUAUUUAUAUUUAUAUAAUAAAUAAAUUUAUAUGAAUUAAAUGAACUUUAAGCAAAUCAUGUUCACUUGAUUAAAUAAGUUAGGUAGAUUGGGCAAUUAAACUUAUACACGAUCUAUUUAUUAAACCGAUUAUAUGCAUUAACAUUAUUAUGAUACAAAUAUGAUUAUAUAUGAUUCAAAUACAAUAAAACUUAGGGAGAAGUAUAUAAAUAUGCAUUAUUUAUAAAAUAUGAAUGAAAAGGAAACUCAAAAAAAGUUAUUUUCAUGGGAAGUGCAUUUUGGGAAAAAUAAUUCUUAAUUAUUUCAUGCACCAGAAUUUACUUCACAUUACUCGAAAAUGUCUCUAUCUAUAUAUAUAUAUAUAUGAAUUGUCACUCAUACCAGUCUAACUUACAUGAAGAUGAUAAAUUAUUCAACCAACAAAUGUUUUAAGCUCAAAAUAAUAUUGCUUUAAGAUCAAAACAAUGUUACUUUAAAACCAAAAUAUAUAGAAGGGCAUUUUCAAAUAAUGUAAGGUAGACGUUAUUCAAGUGUGUGAAAUGAAAAUUAUUUUCCCUAAGCAUUCUCCAUUAAAAUUAAUUUUUAAGGUAUUCUUUUUCUUCAUAUUUUAUAAAUUGUGCAUGUUAACAUAAUUUGCCUAAUUAAUGAGAUUUUCAAAUCAAAUAUGUUAAAAUUAAUAUUGUUUUCAAAAUAAUUUGUCGCAGGUGACAAAAUUAUCAUUACGCGUGUUGUAAUCCCAAGUCGGCCUCCACCAAUUUGGACAAUUUAGGCGGGUUCAAGUCAACUUCAUGUUGUAACGAUUAAUUAAAACCUUAUUCUAGAUUUAUGCCAAAAUUGAGAUGAUAAAUGACAGAGACAUUAUUAACAAGAAAUAGAAAAUGUCUUUGCCUAUCUUUGUAAAAAUGGUGCAUGAUAUCCUUAGAAUCUGACAAUAUUAUUUUAAAAACUGAAAAAUAAAAAAUAAAAAAUGUUCUAUAUAAUAGUAUAAGUACAAAAAUUAUAAAAAUUGUUAUGUCAGAUGGAUGGGUCCUUUAAUGCCUACAUUAGUUAUUGAGGGCUUCUAAGGUUUAUGAGGGUUAGAGCUCCGGAGAAAGAACGAACACGAACAAGGGAGGGAGAGCUAUUUGGGGCUUUUUGGAUUUAAGAAUUUACAAAUCUACCCUUAAUUAGUUGGUUACUUGUAACAUGGGACAUUUCCAUCCAUUGAAACUAAUAUUGAGCAAUGAAAAAGGCAAAGUGGAUAUUUAAAAAGCUCGAGUGCAACAUAUUCGAUUUUAAAUACGAGUAACCAAAACAUAAGAGAUUGAGAGAGUAAAGUGUAUUAAACCCAAAAUUUUUAUACAAACUUUUCUAAAGCAACUAUCAAAUACACUUUAAUUAUGAUUAGUCAAAGUUUUAAGGGUAAAUGAAGUUAACUCUUUUUUUUUCCCUUAAUGCAUGCCUAAUGGCAAUCAACCUUCAUCUUCUAUUCAGAUUUCAAAUUAUUCAUCAACCCCAUUUCAUAUUUGGUUUGCAGACAAUGCCUUUUUUGCUAUGGGGUUGGUAAGCCUAUGAGAGCAGCAGAGAACAAUAUAUAAGAUCAACUUAUCACACCUACAUAUAGAAAAUCUGUGUUUUACACUAAGGAGCUGCUCCUCCUGUGAGAAGGUGGACUCUCUUUCAUAACAAUUACCUGUUCGUUUCCAACUUCUUCAUCAUCUCCUGAACCAUCUCCAUCCAUUCCGCUUGAUGUUUUACCAUCAAUGUUGUUGCCUUUUGAUGCAGAAGUAUUAGUAGAUACCCGAAAUGCGCUUUUUAAUCCCUUCAUCAGCCUUGCGCGGAGAUUCUUCUUAGUUCUUGGAGUUGGAGUUUCAUUGAAGAGCCCUUCCGAGAGAGGAGACAGUACUCCAUCCACCGUGGUCUCCCCUUUGAGUCUAAACCUGAAGCUUGCAGAAGAAAUGGAUCCCCUUUCCCCUCUUUCUAUCUUAUUGGUUGAGCUCAAACGGAAACUCGCGGACCGGACCGAGCCCAAUGCAUUCGCCUGCUUCUCAGACUCUUCCAGAGUCUUCUUCAUGGCCGUGAGAUCUUCCUCCAAGCUUUUGAUUCUUGUGACUGUGGCCCCCAUUAUGUCUUUGAGUUGGGCAACCUGGCGAAGGGCUGCAUCUCGCUGCAGGAUUCCACCGAGGGUGAUGGAGCCAAGGUCGCCUCUGACGUGAUGCCGGGGAUGAGGUAGCGGUGGCGGUUGCUGUUGGGCGGUGGUGGAGAAAAUGGAGCGGGUGUUGAACUGCUCCACCAACAUGGCUCGGAUUAUAAAUCUCAAUGGCAUUCUAGGGUUCUGCACUACAUGCAUGAGGAGCUCAGGUGACAGCUUGUUGCAGUUUACUGCAUUGCAAAUUCGAUUUUUCUGUUCCUCGCUCAUCUUCUCAUUGUGCUCCUGUGAAUAAAUUUAAACAAGAAGCAAGAGAAAAACACUCAGGAAAAUAAGCCAAUGAUUUUUCCAGGAAUUGCCAAAGAAAAAAAUACUAAAAAAAAUUAUUUUAGAAAAUAUGGAAAAAAAAAUAAAAUUAACCAAAAUUUUCUAUAUUUUAAAAUUAUUUAAUUUUUAUUUUUAUAUAUUAAAAGAAAAUAAAUUAAAUUAAAUAUAUUAAAAAAAACUUAUUAUUUUUAAAUCUUUUUUUUUUCUUAUUUAAAAAAUUAAAAAUAUUUUAUAAAUUGGCUUAAUUACCUUAACAUAGAGAUCGACAAUUUUAUACAGGAUGUCGUGACUCCGAGUUAACCGACAAUGCAUUGAAUCGGCAACUACUUGAAAAUCCUCGAUUCCCACCGUCUUAACGUCGUCAACAGAGCUCAGGAAGGCAUCCCCGUUUUCCAUCGAACUCAGCGCCUCAAUACAUCUACUGACAAGUAACGCCGUUUCUUCUGCUUCUGGAAGCAGUUGCAGGCACGAUCGGAAAAUUAUCGACGCGUACUCUCGGUUCACAGCCACCGCACUACAGAAGUAAGUUUCCGCUAACUGCUGUAAGUUCUCGACACCGUCUCCGUUCGUCUCCGCCAUCUCCAGCAGCGACGCCGCCGUUCUCAGAGCCCCGACGUUGAAAGGCGUUAUCACCGGGUUGCUGCCGUAACAGAAGUCGAUGACGAGAGUGAACGUUUCUGCCGUUAUGUUUAACGGCGGGGACAGGGUUAAUUCGGCGACGCCCGUUAGCUCCCGUUUCAGGUAAGCGCUUCCUGACGCGAGGGGAUCCUAAAAAAAGGGAAAUAUAAUAAAUGCCCCUGUUCAAUUCAUUAAUUGCGGAAAAGCACCGCUCAUGUUUUACAAAAAUGGGGCCUUUAAUUCAGAGAAAUUAAUUAAAUUGUCACUCUAAAUAUAGAUAGAUUUCAUUUUGGUUAUAGACUUAUAGUCAACAUGUUGUUAUUUUAACAUGUGUUUAUUUUUUAAUAAUAUUUCUUUUUAUUACACAAUAUUUCACUAUAAUUGUACUUUUACCCAAGAUUAUUUUUUGAAAAAAUUAUUAUAAAAAUUCUAAUUUUAGCUAAAGCAAAAAGAAAAAGAUGUGUUGUUUUUAUUAUAUUUUUUAAUUAAAAAUAGAAAAUAAAAACCCAGUUGGCGGCUUCUACCCUUCACCCAAGAAAUAGUAUAAAAUAAGAGAAAUUCAUGGAAGCAUAAGGAAAAAAUAAAAAACAAAAAAAAUAAAAAUAAACAAAGAAAUUGUAGAUCAAAGACCCAGGGAUGAAUUAAAGAAAAAUACCUUGUGCAGUUGGAAACAUAAACCCUGAACAUGUAUCAAGACAUCAGUUUCACACCCUGUGGCCAGUGCCCUGAUAUGAAAAUGAACAAAUUCAAAAGGAAAAAAAGAAGAGAGAUAGAGAGAGAAGAUUUGAACAUUAGAGCGAGUCAGGAAAAUUAUUUUUGAAAAAGGGGAAGGAAAAAGAAACGAAAAUUUACCAUGCCUCCACUCUGGCAUGGAGAGGUGUAGGAGGAGAGGAUAUUGAGAGAGAGAGCGAAGGGGUGGAGGUGGAAGAAUCUUCAUGUUCUUCCUCAUAGAUGGUCUCCACCAACCCUAAAUGCCUCCAAGCUUUCAUGGCCUCUCUUCUCCUUCUUCUUCGUCUUCUUCCCUAAGACACACACUCAGAGUCUUCAAACCUUUUUCACUGCUGCUGUUAUUGCCAAUUAGGGUUUCUGGAUGGGUGAGAAAUUCCCUAUUCAGCUAUAAAUAUUUAGGGCAUUAAUUGCCACCAUGUGAAAUCAUAAAUGCUACCCAUUACUCCUCUUUCUCAAGUCUUUUCCAUAAUCUAAAUCCUUUACGGAUUCCUACCAAAAUUCUCUUGGAUACUGCUCCACUCCUUUUCUCCACCAUCUCAUUAAUUAUUUUCCACUACUUAAUUUCAAUAAAUUAAAAAAAAAAUACCAAUUACUUCCUUAUAUAUAUUGACUCCAUUUUCUAUAGCCUCUCCAUUACUCCCCUCACUUAACAUUUUUCCUAAAGAGUUUGACCUACUCAUAAAAAAUUUUGGUAAUAUAAUUCAAACCAGUAACUGAAAGGGUAAUGACAUAUUCAUGAGUUUUUUGUUUUUUUUUUUCUUUUUUUUUUUUCUAUUUAUGUAGGAUGUAUUUUUGCAGAGAUGGUUCAUAGUAGUCAAUUGCUGGCUUUGAAAGUGAUUAGCCAUGUCUUCCAAUCUUUACUAAAGAAUCUAGCUUCAGUGGAAAAAAUAUAUCAAUAGUCAGAUUUUCUGUUUAAUAUACAGAUGCUAUGUCAAUUUUGUUUAUUAUUUUUUAAAAUGUCAGUUUAUUACAAGCUUAAAAUCAGCAUGGAUUCAUUUGAUUCCUUUUCUAAAUGAGCUACUAAAAUAGGACCUAUGAUUGCUACUGUGAGCUUCACUCAAUCUAUCGGAUCAUAUAGAUAUCCCUUCAACACAACAUAGGUUAUCAAAAGGGUCUCAGAGACCCACCAAAGCACAAAUGUUUUGGAUCUUUUAAAAAAAUAGAUUUCUAUUCAAAGAAUGCAUAACCACAUGGAUAAGUUUGACAGAGAUCCACUUCGGGAUUUUCCUUGGAAGGAAGUAGGAAGGAAUUUGAAAUGUAAUAAUUUCAAUUCAUACAAAUACAAAAGAAAAUAUUAUCUAUUAAUUCAAAUAUUGUACCUUUCAAUCAUGUAAAUAUUGUCCACUUUGGGUCCAAGGGACCUCAUAACUAUAAAACACAUUUACAUUAUUAAAAGAAGUUCAUACUUAUAUAAUGUGAGAAAAUUUUUCCCUCAUCUAAUGUGGAACAUCAUAUAAAUAAUUAAAGAUACUUAUUUAUAAAAAUGAUAACUCCUUAUACUUUAUAAAUUGUUCUAACAUUUAGAUCUAUGAAUGGUUCUAAUAGCUUGGUAUAAAUAGUUAAGUGGGUUAUGAUUAUAAUGGUUUAAAAUUGUAAUCAUGUCUAACAUAACAAAAACCGAUUAUAAAAAAUAAUUUCACCCUUUUUGUUUUUCAUCAACAAAAUCAAUAUCAAUUAAUGUCUAAUAAUUUUCAAUAAAUGGUUAUAGUUGUUUGUAGUUAGAAAUAACAGGUCUAACUAUUUAAGUCUAAAAAAUUAAUACAUAAAGGCUAUUUUUUAUUCUAGAAAAAUUGGAAAAAAAAAAUAGAGAAGAAAAGUGAAAAAAAAAAAAAAAAAAACAAAGUAAAAAAUAAACUUAAAAUUAAUAAAUUAUUUUAUAUGCUUUUUCAAAUUUAUUUCCUUUAUUUUCCUCUAUUAUAUAAAAAUUAAAUAAUUUUAAAUUGGCCUAAUAGGAAAAAAUUUUUUGAUCAUAACCAUAUAAAAAACCAUUGUCCCAUCUUCAUCAACAAAAUGAAUAUCAUUUAACUCAAAUAUAGUGCUAACACCGAUUCCUUUGAAGUGUAAAAUGUUUAAUUGAUUCUAACUUUACAAAUGCGUAGUUGAUAUAAUUUUUAAAAGAGGAAAGAAAAAAAAGAAAAGAAAAAUAUUAUAACAAAGCCAAGGACAAAUUUAGAAACUAUGCUUAAAAAUAGUUUUAUAUUAUUCAAAACAUAUAAUAAUUUACUUAAAAAAUACAUUUGACAAAUUUUUUUUUAUAGAAACAAUUUUUUGAGGGUUUGUUUUGAAAUAAAUUUGAGGUCUUUUGAGUUGUGUUUUGUAGACUACAGUGAAUAACAAUUGAAAAUAUAAAAAAUAUUUUGAAAACUUUUGUAUUGAAUAUAAGUGACAAGCGUAUAGUAUUUUUUUAUGGAGAAUAAAUUGAGAAAUUUAUUCUUCAUAUUAGAGUUCUUAAAUAAAAUUUUAUUUUUGGAAGUUAUUUUUAAAAAAUUAUCUUGUUUUCCGAAAAAAUGAAAGUUAGAAAGAGAUUCAUCCUCACUUUUUUGCUCAGUCUUUUUUUAAGUUUAGAGCAUUUAAUAAUUUAAAAGGUUAUUUGAUUAAAAGGUCUUUGAAAACUCAAUUUUUGAAAUUUAACCUUUUACCCUUUUUUUUACCUUAUUUGGACAAAAAUGAACUUAUUAUUUUCUUAUAAAAAUAACUCUCUCUUUUAAAAUCUAUAUGUAAAUACUUGAAAUGACAAAAGACAUUUAUGUUAACAAUUGGUUAUUUUUUAAGAAAAAAUAUGUGGAAAUGGUUAGAUUCACAAUUUAGGAAUUAUUUAGUCCAUUUUAACCAAAUAUUUCUAUUUUAAAAGAUGUAAACCAUUUAUAACUCUUCAUCCUCCAUUCUUUGUUUGUCCUUAUGAAGUUUAGAACAUUUAAGAGUAAUUUAAUUAUAUUCAAUGUCAAAUAUAAAAAAACGAUUGUAAUGUAUUAUAAGAAAACUAAGAAUAUGUUUAAUCAUUGUCUUUGAAAAUAUUUUUGUUCUUUAAAAUAAAAAAAUAUAUUUUUAAAUUUAGAAAACACGUUUUGAAAAUUUUCUUAAGGACAACAGUUUUUAAAAAUAUGUUUUGAGAAUGUGUGUUUUUAAGAACAAAUUUAAAGCAUUUUUAGUUAUUUUUUGUAAUAUUGUUCUCGAUAUCAAUUAAAAAGCUUUAAUAUAAAUAAUGUUAAUUUAAAUACAUAAAAAUCUACACAAAGGCAUAUGGGUUUUAACGUGGUUCAGUUAAUUAUGCUUACAUUCAGGAAUGAAAUAAAAUCAUUGUAUUAUAUUAUAUAAAAUACGAAAACCAAAUGUAACUAUUGAGUUUCCCAAACAUCAUUUUCCCACUAAAACCACGAAUACCCACCAUAUGUCUUCACAUUGUUAUCCAUCUUAUAUAAUCUUUAUAAGCUUAUUUUCAUCUCAUGACCCGAUAGUCUUCCUUAUUCUAUAAGGAAAUCUAAAAUUAUAAUAACAUAUCAAUUUAGGAAAUAUUUUAUGUUAACCCAAGGGUUCUCCUGAUCGGGUUUUGAUGAUAAUAAAUCAUGGUUAAGUGACUAAUUGAUUUGAAUGGUAAAGAAUCUCAGGUAUAAAUUCGAAAAUUCAUCAAAUGACCAAAUUGAUACAAGAUUGAGCUUUUGGAAAACUUUUGAUCAUAGGAAACAAAUGUAAAAAGAAUGCAUGGGUGCACUUAGGAUUUUCAUACCGUUUCAUGCAUCUUUGAAAACUUGGUUUAUCCUUUAAAAUUCUGAUUUAAUUAAAACCCGAGUUUUAUCAAAUGUACCUUAGGCAAAACGUUUUAAAAUUGGCAUAUUAAUUCACCUAAAGACCUUGCCUAAGUGUUAGAAAAGAAAGGAAUUGAAAAGGAUAGGUUUUCGGGGCCAAAAGGCUAAAUCGGUCGAGGUUUUGGCCAACCGGCUCAACCGGUUGGGAAACCAGUCAACCGGUUACCCUUGUCCAGUCGAGGUCCGGUCGAGGAGUGCCAAAAACACUCUCUCUCAUCCAGUAGCUUCCUCUUCCCGGUUGAGGUUCACCCAUUCCCGGUCAAGGUCUGGUCGACCUCCGGUUGAGGCAACGAUAACCUGCCAAAACAUUAAAUGCUCCAACGGCUAGUGAACCAGUCAACCCCUAGCUCGACUGGUUGAGGUUGUCUUUUGCUGUUUUUGGCUCCCAAGCUUAGAAACCUAUAAAUUGAGAGCUCCACUUCAUUCAUAACAUAAAGAACAUUUGCAAUCAAUUGUCUACCUACUUGUUCUUGGCCUGAAAGCUCUAAUUUCUUUCUUAGUGCAUUAAAUCGUCACUUGCAUAUCUUUUAGUGCACCCUUGUGAGUUAUCCUAACUUUGUUUUGUAUUUGAGCUAUCUUUAAGCUAGGUUGAGGGAUUCAUUCUUGUAAAAACUAAGUGUUAAAGCCUUCAAAAGGUUUGAAUCUUGAAGAUAUUGUGUAAGAGCCCAUUGGAGUCGGAAUCCAAGUGUAAAAAGAUUGGAAGCUUGGUUGAAAUUUCAAAUUAGUGGAACCCUCACUCAGUUAGGAGAUUGAGGAGAGUGGACAUAGGCAAGGAAGUAUCGAACCACUAUAAAAUCCGAAUUUGAAUUCUCUAACUCUAUCUCUUUAUUUUUUUUAUUAUAUUAUGCUUGAACUUGUUGUGUUGAAAAAGUUUUUAAAAAACUCAAUUCACCGCCCCCUCCCCCCUUUUAGGUGUUUUUCUUAAUUAAGCAAAACCUUUAUUUUCUCAUUUUAUAUAAUAUUAUUUACAAAAAUAAAUUUAUAUUACUUAAGAACUUGUGACACUUUUCAACCAUUUUCACCUUGGAUCUCUCCAUGAUAUAAGGGAUUCACUUUCAAUAAAAAUUCUUUUUGCCAUCUUCUUGUACAGUGUAUUUUCUAUGGCUCUUCCAAAAAUAUUCAUCAUAAACUAUGAUACAACAAAAAAUCAUUUUGUUAUCCUCUUGUAUACCCUAUUCUCUUUGGCUAUGUUUGAUUCCCGUAAAAUGCUAAGGAAAGGAAAAAAAAAAAUCAUGUGGAAAAUUAUUUUCUUUAGUUUGGAUUACAUGGAAAAUAUGAUGGAAAAAAAAUAUAAAGGAAAAUAUGAUGGAACAUAUCAUGAUAUUUUCCCUACUAUUUUUCUUAAAAAAUAAUGAGAAAAAUAAGAGAAAAAGAGAAGGAAAAAGUUAGGGAAAAUUUAUCGGGCUAUUCACCGAUUGCGCUCUUCACAAACUCAGUCCUUUGCUACACUUUGACUGCGCUGCCUUCAUGGCUGACAACACACCUUCCACCACCACCCCUCUCCUCCGCCCCAGUCGGCGGUGGUUUAGCUCCCUCCGUCUCAAAACCACUCUCUGUUGAGCUCGGGGGCUUUGUGGGCAACCUGGGCACCUACAUACCCAUCGUCCUAACUCUCACAUUGGUCAACCACCUGGACUUCUCCACAACCCUCAUCUUCACGGCUCUAUACAACAUCUCCACCGACUUUCUCUUUAGCAUCCCAAUGCCUAUCCAGCCCAUGAAGUCCAUCGCUACCGUUGCCAUCUCCGAACCCCUCCUCUCCCUCCCCCAAAUCGUUGUCGCGGGUCUCUCCAUUGCCGCCACCCUCUUCAUCUUUGGCACCACUGGCCUCAUGUCCCUCCUCUACCGCUUCAUCCCCCUCCCCAUCGUCCGCGGCGUCCAGCUUUCCUAGGGCCUCGCCUUCGCCUUCUCCGCCAUCAAAUACAUCCGUUACAACCAGGACUUUUCCUCCGGAAAAUCCGAUCCACCUAGAAAUUGGCUCGACCUCGACAAAAUCGCACUUGCCCUUUUCUCUAUUCUGUUCUUGGUCUUGGUCACUGGUUCUGGUGAUUUUGGCGAUGAAGCUAUCUCCUUGGGUGUUCAUGAAGAAUAAAAUGAUUCUGUGAAUCGCUCUUGUCAUCGUGUGCGACGGAGAUUGCGGAUUAUGUCGUCAAUUCCAACUGCUUUAAUUGUUUUUAUACUAGGCUUGGUGCUUUGCUUUAUUCGAGACCCUUCAAUUGUGAAGGAUCUUCGAUUUGGUCCAUCUAGAAUCCAUCUCUGGGAAGAUUGGAAAAUUGGGUUCUUCCUCUGAUUUUUAGAAAAUAAGAAUAUAAAAUUUAUUUUAUUAUUCUAUAAAUUGAUAACCAGACAAAUUAUUGAAUUUAUUUUCCUUUUAUUUUUCCUUGACUUCUUUUUCAUAGUUAACCAAACAAAAGAAAAUAAUUUUUUUUCCCUUGAAUUUUUCAUGGAUAACCAAACAAGCGAAAAAAUUUAUAUUACUUUCUUUACCUUUUUCUUUCCUUCCAAUUUUAUUUCUCUUGCAUUUUCCGGGAACCAAACAUAGCCUUUAGCUCUUAUAAAAAUAUUCAUUAUAAACUAUGAUACCAAUUUGUUAUGCCAAUGGAAAUUGUAAUGUAAACAAUGUUAGUUUAAUAACACAAAAAUAAAAUAAUCCACAUAAAGAUACAAGAAGUUUUAAUAUAGUUCGACCAAUCAUGUCUACGUCCACAAUUGAGAUAAAAUUAUUUCACUAUAUCAUAAAGAAUAUUACAAGGGACAGAAAUCAGAUACAACUAUCGAGUUUUCAAAUAUCUCAUAUUUUAUAAUUCCUUAUGUCUACACUCUAAACCACAAUUCUCUUACUUCAUCGAUUAUCUCUCAUCUUCCUUACAUUUCUAUUCAUCUUGUGUAGUUUUUACAACUCCACCUUUAUCUCAUGAUCGUUCCCUCUAUUUAUGUUUUUUACUUUACCUUCAACUAAAAUUUCUUUUAUCAUUAUCUCAUGUACUUUAUUCUUUUUAACUUGAGAUUUAAUGCUAUUGUUGUGUCGACGAAAGUUUUAAUACAAACAAUGUUAAUUUAAGAAUACAAAGGUAAGACAAUUCAUACAAAGAUACAUGGACUUUUAAUGUGAUUCGAUAAAUCAUGUCUAUAUCCACAAAUAAGAAAGAAUUAUUCUACUAUACUAUAGGGAAUAUUAUAAAUGACAUAAACCAAAUACAAUUAUUGAGUUCUCAAUACAUCUCAUAUUUCCUCACCCCUUAUAUUUAUACUUUAACCAUGAACCACGAGUCUCUUACUCCACCAAAUGUCUCAUAUUCUUCCUCACAUCUUUAUCCACCUUGUAUAAACUUUAUAAGUUCAUUUUUUAUCUCAUAACCUUUUCCCUUCAUGACCUAAAAUAUUUAUAAAAAUAUUGCUAAUAAUUUUAUUUAUUCUAUAAGAAAAAUGUAAAAUUAUACAGACAUAUCAAUAUAGAAAAUAUUGUAUACAAUAUUUUUUUAUAAAAAAAUGAAUAUAUACUAAUUAGGAAUUUUAGACACUUUUCAACAAAAAAAAUAUAAAUUAUAUUUUGAAACUUUUAUAUUCUACAUAAGUUAUUGAGAAAACUAAUUUUCAUAUGUGAAUUCUCAAACACAACUUUGUUAUUGAAAAUAAUUUAUCAAUAUUUUCAAGAAUGAUUCUUAAAAACUAUUUUUUUAAAUAUUCUCAAACAAGAUUUAAUUCUCUGUGCUUUAAAUUUUUAUUUAUUUUUUUUUUGCUUUUAAACCAAAAUCAGUAGCAUUAACAUCGAUUUUUUUUAGUGUAUAACAUUUACUAGGUUCUAAUUUCAUAAAAUAUAUAAUUAAUUUUUUUUUAAAAUGGUACGACCCAUUUUUGGUUAAAAUGGUGUAUUAAAAUGUUCUAUCACACUUGUAAUUACUUAACAAUACUAAAUCGGUUUUUACAUCAUUAAACAAAAUUCAUACAUAUAUAAUAUCAUAAACUUCUUUCCUUAUCUGAUAUAAGAUAUUAUAAAUAUCGUCAUAUAAAUACAACAUCCUCGUUGUAUCCCAUAUAAAUGUAAUGUUAGGUAAAUAAACACUUUUUGUAAAGUUGAAUAAACAAAGAUUCACAUUGGGUCAUAUUGACUUCAAUAAUAUUUCUAAACACCCACUUUAAACCAUAUAAAUAUUAUUCACUUUAAACCUAAUAUAUGACUUUAAAAAUACGUUUAUGUGGUUAAGAUGAGCUCAUAUAUAUUGUAUAGGAGGAAAAUUUUGUAACAUUAUACAUGUACGAGAUUCCUUAAUCAUAUAAUCGCGUUUUAAAGCUGUAAAAAUCUCUUGGAUAUAAUCUGGAUAAUAUCUACAAAAUUAAAAGCAGUUCAUUAUAUUUUUUAUUUUUUUAUUUGUUUUUAACUUUUCUAAACUCAUUUUUAAAAAUAAAAUAAAAAAUACUUUUCAAAUGUAAUUUAAGACUUGAUUUUCAACGAUCGAACCUAGGCCUCCUGGGCAUUCCAAGAGAUGCAAGCCAAGAAGGUAUUUUGGCCCUACAAGUCAUACAUGAACUUAACUAUAUAUAUUUUAUACAUAGGCUUUAGUUUUAAUUAAAUUAUUUUAACAAAUACACAUAUAUAAAUAAAUAUCCAUGAGAAAAAUAAAAUAUUGAAUUAAAAUUUUAACAAGUAAAUGAAUUGUGAUUAUUUUACUUUUAAGAAUAAUUUAAUUGAUUGUUAAUAAUAUGAAAAUUACAAAUCAUGAUAAUUUUUUUAACAUGUUUUUAUUUCUAUCAAAUAUUUUAGACCUUUUUUUUUCAUCAAAUCUAUCAAAGAUUUCAUCAGAAAAAUGUUUCAUAAUUCACUGCCAUUUAAUAUGAAUUUUCAUUUUUUUAUUUGGGUAUUGAUUGUGCCUGUUUUAAUUGGUAUUAAAUCCAAACGACGUCGUUUUUGAAUUACUAAUCCAAGCAAUCUCGUUUUAAAAUAUUAAUAAAACGAAGUCGUUUUUCCUUUGUCCAUAUAAACGACGUCGUUGAGCACUUCGUGAAACAAAACCCACCGCUAUAAAUAUCCAGAAACCCUAACCCUAAUAACCCUUCUGGUUGCCGUCACUUGGUGUUGCAGAGAGAGGCGAGGGACCAAGAUGAAGUACAAUCCGAGGGUUUCAAGCUCCCGCCGGAAGAGUCGGAAGGCUCACUUCACGGCGCCGUCGAGUGUCCGGCGAGUGCUGAUGAGCGCACCACUCUCCACCGACCUCCGCAGCAAGUACAACGCUCGCUCCAUGCCCAUUCGCAAGGACGACGAGGUCCAGGUCGUUCGGGGAACCUUCAAGGGCCGUGAGGGGAAAGUCGUUCAAGUUUACCGCCGGAAAUGGGUCAUCCAUGUCGAGCGGAUCACUCGCGAGAAGGUUAACGGAUCCACCGUCAACGUCGGCAUCAAUCCUUCCAAGGUCGUGAUCACAAAGCUACGCCUCGACAAGGACCGCAAGUCACUCCUCGAUCGCAAGGCCAAGGGUCGCGCGGCCGCCGACAAGGACAAGGGCACCAAGUUCACCGCGGAGGAUAUCAUGCAGAGCGUCGAUUGAUCGGUUCGUUUUUGUCUUUUUGUAACAGGUUUCUGUCUUAGAUGCUCUUUAUCAUGUUUUGUUUGGAUGGUUUAUUUUGAGGAUUUUGCAUUAUAAGUUGAGGUUCAGACGUUUUCUCUGCCAAAAUAUGGAUUUUAUGAUACCUUAAUGGAAUGUUCCUACUUCUUUAUGGUAUGAUAUUGUGCCUAGCAUUCUCAAUUAGCAAAUGGAUUUGUUUAGCUUCUUUUUCCGUGCGAUAUAUUAACUAACAGGGAGCCUUUAAUAUCCUAUUCAUUCCUGAAUCCAAACAAAGGCCUUUUGUUUUGGGUUCCAUCUGCCUGUAAUAUGCUAUGCAUCUGCCUGUAAUCCUUUCUUAGAGUUAGGAAAUACUUGUUUGUAAGUAUUUUCCUCAAAUUCCAAAAUGGAAGACGUGGGAACACAUAAUCAAGUUUGUGUUUGUUCUAUGCAUUGCCCUAGAUGGCUGAAUCUCACUUCACCUGUGAGUGUUUGGACUCCCGUCUGGUGAGGUUGUAAGGUACAUUUUCUUGAUCAUACAAUCAAAUAAGGUGAGGCUUACUGACUAUCGGUUUUCAUUUAUUGGUUGGACUUUACAACCGAGGAUUAUGCUUUGCUUUGCAGAGUCUGGUUAUAUAUGUAUAAUUGCAACUGUAAGGGCAUGCUGUUUGAGCAACAAAUUUUCCUCUAGAAAAUAAAAACUAUCCAAAACUAACAUGUUUUUUGAACUCUUCAAAAGCUUUUUCCUUUCUUUUCUUUUCUUUUGUUUUGAAGGAUGAGACCAAGCACACAUAAAAGACUGAUGGUCAAAACCAGGUGUGCGCUCAUUCAUACCGAGAAAUAGAAAUAAUAGUGCAGGAAUCCAAAUAGGAAGUACCUUCAUGGAUUGAUCUCUCAUGAAGCUCCCCUUCUGUUAAUUUGAGGUGUGAAAUGGUGGGUGAAAUAAUCAUAGAAAAGAAACCAAAAGAAAUACAUAUCCCUUGACAGGAUUCCGGUCAAUCAACUGGAAACAUGCGCUUCAUGAAUGUUAAAUUUAAUAAAGGUCAGAGCUUAGAAUAAAUUAUGUUUGGUUAUAACCCCUCAACCUUUUACAUGUUUUAUACUAUUGUUCCUUUGUAUUCUUUUGUUCCCUUGUAUUCAAAAUCUAACACUUCAUCCCUCAACAUGUUUUGCACUUUGUUACCUUAUAUUUGAAGUUUGACACUUUAAUCCCUCUAGUUUGUUGAAGAAUAGUACUUCGACAUCAUUUAUGAACCCUCCAUGAUUAUAAAAAGGAUUGCUCUGUUCUGGAAGCAAGUUUGAAUUCAGCCCUCCAUGAUUAUAAAAAGGAUUACUCUGUUUUGUACAUUAGUUUAAAUUUGGAUAAAACUAGCUUCAAACGGACAUUUUUGAAGUGGAGUUUCUUAAUUGGCCAAUUGUAUUGAUUUUUUAUUUUAGAUUUUAGAGAAGUUUGAUUUUCUUAUUUCGAGAGAUAUAUGUCUGAAAUUUGUGAUUUUCAGAUCCAUUUACAAAGUGAUAUUUUGAUUGUCUUUAUUCAAAUUGUUGUUGUUUAACAAGCAAACUUGGUGGUAAAUUGUUGUUUAAAGUUACGGGGCAAAGUAUUGAAUUUUGGGACUUCGAAUAUGAGGUUUGUGGGGGCAAGGCAUUCUAUUCUUAUUUGACUGACUAUGAGCUUUGGGGGCAAAGUGUUAUUAUUUAACCAGUUGCUGGGUUUAACCCAAUAUUCUUCAUUGGAAGAGCUUCUUAUACUUUGACUCAUUGGUGAACUGGACACUAAUGCACGUAUCUUUACUGGUAAGAUGAUGACUCACAGGUGAACGGAAGUGAACCGUUUUGCGAUCGACGCAAAUUGGAGAACGUGUAUUUGAAGGUAAACCAUUUUGCAGAGAACAAAGAAUUAAAUUUGUUCUUAAAUAUAAGGCUAUUGGGUUGGUCACCCCUGACAGAGGAGUAAAACUUAUAGCUUCAGUCAUCUAUGGAUACUGUGAUUUCGUUCUGUAAACGGUAAAACACCAAAGAGUGCCAAUUGAAACAUGAAACUUAACCAAAUCAGUUUGGGGCAGACAUUUACUCCGAAAAUAACAAGGUUUGAAAUGUCGAAACUAUCAUUGAUAUUUCGUCCAAAAACUCGAUAGUAGGAAAAAAUAAUCGGAAAAAAUCGCAUUAUUGUGAAAUAUCAGCGAUAUUGCGAUCUUUAUUUUUUUAGAAAAAUGGGUAUUUUUUGAGGAAAAUCAUGAAAAUUUCUCAUUUAAGGACCCCUCACUAUUCACAUGCUUAGUGGAACCCUAUUCACUCCACUCCUCUUACUAGUUGCACUUUGCAGAAGGGCGCGACUCGAACCCAAGUCAAAAAUUUACAUUAAACCUUAAAAACUAAAAGUUGAUUUGCACUUUGAAGAAGGGAGAAUCGAACCGAAGGCAAAAAGUUUACAUUAAACACUAGGGCAGAUUCACACAUAAAAUUAAAAAUGCACAAAUGCAUGUAUUUAAUUUCAUUAUAAAAACAAGAUAUUAAAAAAAUAUUUUAAGAAAUAAAUAUAUUUUAAUUAUUUUAUUUUUUAAUUUUACUUAAUUGAUUAUCAAAAAUAUAAAAAUUAGUGACUUUUUUUUAUAUCAUUUACAUGAUGAUAAAAUAUAAAAAAUAUAAAUAUAAAUAUUAUUGUUAAACAAUAUUUAAUAGAACUUAAUAAUAAAUAUAUGUUUACAAAAUUCCAUAACAUUAACUAUAAGAAAUUAUAUCCUACAUAUAUUAAUUUUUUUAAUAAAAUAAUUUUUAAAUAUCUAUUAUUAUUUCUUCUAUCAUUUCUUAAAAUUUUUCUCAGCAUUUGGAUCUAAUUUUGUCUCAUCAAUUUUAUUUUUUGUCAAAAUACCUCUCAAUAUUUCCUGAUAUAUUGAUAAAAUCCAAAUAUCAUUAUAUAUAUAUAUAUGAGAUUACUAAUAUUUUCGAAAUAACUCUCACAUUGAGAAUCCUGCAGAUCACGAUCAAAACAAAAUGUUCUGGCACAUUGCAAUAAAGCAGUCUCCAAUAAAUUUGGCACUACCACUCUCCAACAAUCCUCCACUGGAGGGUAAGAAAAUGUUGCAUCUAUGUCAAAAUGAUGAGAAAACGAGGAAAAAAAGACCACAAGUAGGAGGCCUGAACAAAAAUACAAUCCAUCCACAAUCCAAAACCUAGAAAUGAAUAUAUUGUGGAAUUAUUUAUUAAGAGCUCCCUUUCAGGCGCCACUGAAAAAUAAAAAGGGUAUGGACUUCAAACGACAGAAUACUCCAACAGCAGAAAACCACUCAAGGCUUGAGAGCAAGGGCCAGCCCAAACCUAGGAGUUUUGUCCAGCGCCUUGGUNNNNNNNNNNNNNNNNNNNNNNNNNNNNNNNNNNNNNNNNNNNNNNNNNNNNNNNNNNNNNNNNNNNNNNNNNNNNNNNNNNNNNNNNNNNNNNNNNNNNAAGCAAUGCUUGGGGUACCAAUGGUGACUGAAAGAUCAACUGCUGGUGACUGAUUCAAUGCAACUGAUGUAGUGAGUGUUGCAUGAUCAUGGAAGUACUGAACCUCCAGCUGCAUAAACAAAUGGCAAACAUAAGAACGUAAAAACUCAACAUAUGUAUAUAAAAUCUCACCUAGCAUAGAGGAUGAUUUGUACCUUGCCAGAAUUGUAAUCAGGAAAUUUGAAUGAGGCAAUAGUCUUAGUGGAUGGAAUAAUCUCUGUGAAUGUAAGGGUUGUAUUGAUCUGCCAUAACAAUGAAAGCAGAAGAUGCUUAUUGCAGACACAAAAACUCUUAGUAAAAAUUUUAAAACCGAUAAACCAAGUGACCUACAUUUGACCCUGUGUCAGCUUUUACAUCAAUGACAGAAUUUUUGUAUUUGUAUUGCACUGCUACAUCGCCAGUUGAGAGUCCUCCUUUCUUCACUGCAGUUGAUGUGAUGGCCUAAAGAACAGUAGUUGGCAUUCAGUUGUUGCUCCCAGUUCACAUUGCACAGGAUAAAAAAUACAAAUAGAUGACAGUCACAACCGCCACCAAAUGUUGUCAGGAAGCAAGCAUGAGCCCAAAACCAUUAAUACCAAAUUUAAGGACCAAAAGUUAAAUUUUGUAUAUUAGAGAUUAAUAAAUACCAUUAGGUGUGAUAAAUGAUACAAAUAACAACAGGUGAAAUAGUAGUAUAACUAAUAUUUGCACUAAGAAAGAACAAAACUAUUGUACACUAUGGAAAAUGGAAAUGGCUACAUGUGCACUGAUUUGGAAUUAGAGCUUCAUCAAAAAAAUUACUUAGUCUAUUGAGCAGGGUGUACAAAUUGAACUUCAAGGUUUCUUUCUUUUUUUUUUUUUGAUAGAUAAAAAGGAAGUAUAUUAAACGAAAAGAGGAAGCACCAAAAACAGUGCCCUCCAAGUAUACAGGGAGUAUACAAACAAGCCCAAAGACACACCCCUAAGGGGAAAGGAAAGCAACACACCAACUUCCCUUACUUAGAGCCUAACUAGUCUAAAAAACUUACAAGAGAAGAAGGGCUCAAAACUAAAGAAAUCUUGACCCAAGACCAAAGAUUACAUACAAAAGAAUAAACAUGUCUGGAACGUACAAAUUGAACUUCAAGGUUUCUUGCUCAAUCUCAGUGGUAGAUUAUUUAUUAACAUGUCUGGAACAUUUCACCAUUAAUAAACACAACUGCCCUGUAGACACCUGCAACCAUGCCUGUCUUGCACAGAUCCUAAACACACAAUUUUGAAACUCUGGCAUGCUACAAAUGUGGCCUAAAGAUUUUGUAACAAAGGAAUAUCAAAAUUCCUGCAGGGAAAAUAAAUACAUUACCAUAUCAAAAGCCACAUAUUUCUUUCCUAUAGAGAAUCCAUCUAAAAUCUCACUACAUAACAACAGAGUUCCAAAAAGGUUUCCCAAUGAAUAACAAGAAAAAAAGCACAUUUUUUAUAUACCCACUCUUCUCCUAUGUCCUGAUAGCAUAUACCAACUACUCAAUUCCAUAAUUCCUUACAACUAUGGGACUUUUUUUUUACUUCUGCUUUCAUGGAUAAACAUAAAGUCAUAUAGAAGGCACCAAACAAAAGGGGAAGCACCAUUUCUAUAUGGUGGUAUAUAAAAGGGACCAAAGAAAGAAGAAAAUACAUACCCCUCCAACAAACAGCAAAACUAUGUCCAUCUAUCCACAAUUUAGACUACAAAUGAAGUCUAGCAACAUAUAAUAGUCAACCCUAGCAAGGACCUCGAUUACUUUAAAAGGAACUUGAUGAAAUUGGCUUUUGAUCUGAAUGCUCUUUUUCACUAUAAGUUUGAUCAUUAUACUCUCUCCAAAUGCACCAAAAUAGGCAAAGGGGUGCCACCUCACUAAGCCUUCCUCAUCCACUUUAUCCAAGCCUUGAAUCUUNNNNNNNNNNNNNNNNNNNNNNNNNNNNNNNNNNNNNNNNNNNNNNNNNNNNNNNNNNNNNNNNNNNNNNNNNNNNNNNNNNNNNNNNNNNNNNNNNNNNGGUGCCACUCACUAAGCCUUCCUCAUCCACUUAUCCAAGCCUUGAAUCUUUCAGCACAACAGAAGCUCCCUAAUUGACUCUAGAAAAAACCAACUGCAUCCCAAGAAUAUUCAGCAACAAAUCCUACAGCUGUCAUGUCCAAUUGCAAUGGAUCAGAAUGUGCUUUCUGGUUCCUUGAUAGCUUUACAACUACAAAUCUGGCAUUCUGAUGUAUAUGAUUGCAUUAUCUCAACAAGUGGUCAACUUGUCCAUUUCAUUAACAUCCAGUUACGAUCAUUUCCGAUGCCAUAAAGAGUAUGGUUCUAUAGUUGUCUUAUAAAAUCCUCUUUAGUUGGGAAACUAAAAAUUAACUCAAACAUUAGUUAGAAGCAUUGUCCAUUUGUUCAUCCCACUCCAUUGUUAUGGGCAACAUGGUUUCAUCUCAAGGGUUUGGAAGGGAGGCCAUCUUUAUUUCUCUAUAGCAAAUCAAACCAAGAAAAAUUACAAUGAUAAUACUAAUGUGUUGCUUAGCCCUAUCCCUUCCUUUGUACUCCUAAUAUUACCAAAUAAUAAUAAUAGUAAUUUUUUGUAACCUAUUAGUGCCAAGUAUAGGCAAAUGUCUAGGUGUCUAAUCCUUCACACCUACAAAUUUUAGGAUAUGGAGACUUAGCUAAGAUGUAUCUCAAUGAUGGAUGUAAACACUUGGCUACAACAUAAUAAUGGGAAAACAAAAUCAACUAGAAAUCAAUAAAAAAAAUAAAGACAUCUUUGAUAAAAACUCUCCUUUUCUCUUUUAUCCUUGCUAAGGAAGUUGAAAUGGAAAUAUAAAUCGAUCAAAACCAAAUAGUCACAUCUGAAGCAAAGUAGGAGUAUCCAACAAGGCUCUCACACUCACAUUGUGUUGACACAAUUACACAAGGUGCAAUUGGAGAGUCCGGGUAUCAUAGCAUGCUUCUCAAAACUACAUCACAAAAUUUCCUUGACAAUGUCAGUUGAUCUAAUCAACAUUUCCUUAUUCCCUAAACCUAUAGGAUGGUAGUGGUAAAUUAUGGCACAGUGAUUCAGUUCCCCCGACAUAUUUUCUCCUUCACUACAAAAGAAUGUUAUAAAGAGCACAAUCAUAUUCCCCUCCAUCUUCCAUAUCAAAACAAUCCAGUAUUGUAGGCUCAGGUUUGUUGCAGAGGGGAAACUUCUUUGUUUUGUAAUGAACAAGCCACAAAAAGGCACAUGUUCAUUUUCUCAAAUAAUUAAUAAGUUUCUCAAGUGAACAAUUUCAACAUGGUUCACUUUAACCCUGUCGCACAUUGGAUGAAACCAGACAUCCCUUUUUCAAAUCAAGAAAAAGGCUUCAACCUAUACACUUUGUCAUGCUUAGGCAUUAACCCAAAAAAAAAAAUAGGAAAGAAAAAAAAAAUUGCACCUUCAACUUGUCAUUUUAAUCAAACAGGCUUGUCAAAUUCUAGAUUAUUUUUAAAUGAAAACACAUCAACAGAUAGCCUUCAAACUUGAUUACUUAUACACAACAUCAAACUUUGUAAAGCUAAAUAAUUUAAGAAUCCAAUUGAGUGACAUCACAUAAACACAAAAAUAAAUUAAAUAAUUGAAUAUUCAUACAAUCUAUUCCACUUUCAACUUCCACUAAAGCCUCUAUACUAAUUCUUGAUUCUUCCAAUGUCUAUACAAUCCAUCAUUAUAAGAAUGCAUAUACAACCUGGUUUUCCAAAUCAACAUCAUACCUCGAAAUCAACCAUAAGCCAAAAACAGCGACCACUCCAACCUAAGCAAAUUUAUCAUCAAUUCUUACAAGAAUGACGAUUCCUAAUAAAUGAGAAUGAAACAUUUACACAGGAAACAGGUUAAAGGUCACAAGAUCUUAUCGAGACUAAAAGCACUAACACACCUUCUUUCAAAUUCAGCUAAAAGUUAAAUCAUAACUCCUGCCAUUACAGUUUAUUGAAAUUAAAUGCACAGUCUACGCAAAAAAUAGUCGAUCCCAAUGCGAUCCAAAACUACCGUCAUAAUUGUCCGUCAAACCCUAAACUAUUGGUCUAGGCAUCUUCAAAACAAUAUUUAGAAAAGAAAAAAAAAAAUAACACGGAGAUAGAUCGUUAGAGAUUCAAUCCCUACCACUCCCGUAUCGCUGUAUGUGGAGACGGUGAAUUUCUGAUCGGAGAUGUAAUCCCUCGUGAGAAGAUCUACAAUCAAAUUAAGAAACUAGGGUUUCACAAUCAAAUCAAAUAUGAGCACCAGAUAUUUCAGAACAUGUGCGAGUAGAAUGACUACCUUUGGCUUUCUUCCCUAUAUCGGCGAAGAGUCCUGGUCCCUUGCUCAUGUUUGCAGAAAGGAAGGGGAGUAUCCGAAUGCCGCAAUGGGAAGAUUGGAGGUAGGAGGUGGGAAGAGGAGAGAGAUGCGAAGAAUUUUCGUAUUUCUUUUUUUCGUGGUCACCACCAAAAUUGCGAAAGCCGAGUGUAAAAGUUGGCUGUGAGCGGUUGUGGUGACAGCCGAAAUGUCGACCGUGGAUUUAAAUGGAGGGGCUGCAUCGUGUGGCGGUAAACUAUACCUACAGAAAAUCGAAAAAUCGGCGAUCAAAUUGAGCGUGGGACGACGCGCGUGGUGCGGCGACAAAAAAUGGGCAAUUUUUUUUAAAAAAAAAUCGCCACUUUUUUUUAGGACUUUUCAAAAAACGCCAUUUUUUUUAUAUAUAUAUCCUGUUUUUUUAAAAUAAAAUAAAAUAAAAGUUAUCUUUUAUUUUAAAUUUAUAUUAUCAUUUUAUUUUAUAUUAUCCUUUUAUUUUUAACUAUUUUUCACAUUUAUCUCCUUAAUCUCAUUUCAAAAAAUUACUAUCACUCUACUCUUAACUUUUUUAUAUUUAUCUUUUUAAUUUUAUUUAAUUUUAAAUGUUUUAUUUUAAAUAUUAAAAAUAUAAUUUUACUCAAAUUUUUCUAAAAUAUAAAAAAUAACUAAUGAAGUUCUAAAAUUUUAUAAAUUAAAAUUAAUUUGAUAAGAUAAAUUAUUAAUAAUUUUAAUUAUUUAAAUAAAGUAACGUUAAUAGAAAAGUUGUCACUACAUAUUUGUUAAUGAAAUUUUAGAAAUUAAAUCGUAAAUAAAAUAUUUUAUAUAAAUUAAUUUAGGUUUUUAUUUAAAAUGUAAUAAAACGUGUUUUAAUAAAAAUAUUUUUUUAAUUUUAAAAAUAAAUGAAUGUAAAUACAUUAAAGGAAAUUAAGCUUUUUUUUUUAUAAAUAUUUGAUAAAUAUUAUCUUUAAUCAUACUCAUGUCAAUUACAUUUAUAAAAUAAUUGUUAUUUUUCUUAUCAUUUUUUUUUUAAGUCUUUUAAGUAUUUUCAUUAAUUUUUAGUCAUUUCAUUUCUGUUUUGAUUGAUGUUUUUAUCACAAUAUUUACCAAUAUUUUUUUUAUAUAUUUACAAUAUAUCCACUAAAAUUCAAAUAUCAAUAUAUCCAAUUUACCGAUAUUUCAUACCUUGGUUAAGAUCAAUUCAUUGAUUGAUCAAAUCAUUACAUUUAGUAAGGGAUUGUUAGUGAGAUAAUCAAUUUGGUAUCUUAGUGAGUUAAGGUUCUCUUUAACCAAUUACAAGAUUAAUAUACACUACCAAUCAAUCCUUCAUUUUCUUGCUCAACGAUCAAGUGAUCAACUAACCUACUCUUGGUUUUGAAUUUUUGAAAACUAUUUAAUCUUUAACACAUACUUGAAAAAGCUAGUUUUCCUCAAUUUGUUGAGGUCAUAUGCUUCAUCCAAUUUAAGAUUUGAAUGCAUUUUAAAAUAAACUGGAUGAAUUUUUAUUUUUUUUCUAAACAAAAUUAUAAGACUAAAUAAUUUAAAAAAAAAAAAUCCUAUUUCAAAGCACUUCCACCUUCCAUUGCAAAAAAAUCUUAAAAACAUGAACUUUGAUUCAAAGCUUUCUUGGAGCAUGUUGCUUAUAAAGCAUUGAGUCUUACGCCAACAAAAGCUUUUAACACAAACAUAUUAAUUCAACAACAUAAAAAUAAAAUAAUCAAUACAUAUGUAUAUGAGGUUUUAACAUUAUUCAGUCAACCAUAUCUACAUCUAUAAAUGAGAGAUAAUUUUUUCAUUAUAUCAUAAAGAACAUUACAAAUGACAAAAUCAUAUAUAAUUAUUGGGUUAUCGAACCAUCUUAUAUUUUCUCACUUUUUAUAUCCACAUCCUAAACCACGAACUCUUUUGCUCUAUUAAGUAUCUUUUAUUCUUCGUCACAUCUCUUUCAAUCUUCUAUAAUCUCUAAAAAUUCAUAUUUAUCUCAUGACUUCAAAUAUUUAUAAUAACGUUAUUUAUUUUAUAAAAAAAUAUAAUAUUACAAUAAUAUGUCAACCUAUAAAAUAUUUUAUACAAUAUUCUUUACAAAAAAAAUUAUUAAUUAGAAAUUUAAUACACUUCCCAAAAUUUUAGCUAAUUGAGUUCAAUUAUCCAUUCAAGGCAGGCUCCCGUCUUUCCAUUAGCCAAACCAUUGUUGCCCUGAGUAGGUCUUUUUGUGGGUCCCUUCAAUUGAACAUUUGCAAAGUAACAAACUAGAAUGGUCCUCUGAAAGCCACAAGAUCUUUGACGCUUAAGGGUUGUUAGUAACAAAUGAAAUCAUAAAAGGAAAUUUUUUGUGACUUACCUGGGUUGUGAGGUGCUGUCUCUAUAAGGAUCUCCUGCUGAUAGUUGCCUUGGGUUGUGUGGAGUUGUUUUAAAAAAUAAUUAUAUAAAUAUAAAGAAUAAUUAAAUAUAAAAAUUAAUUUUUAAAUAUAAAAAAUAAAUUAAAAAUAUUUUACCUUUCAAAGCAAACAUUCAUUUUAUAAAAUAUUAUAAAAUUAUUUUCAAAAAUUAUUUUUCAAAACUAUUUAAAAAAGUAGCUACCAAAUCAGGGAUAAUUUUCUAUUAUUAAAAAUAAAAAAUUCAAUAUUUCAAAGGAUAUUUUUAGUCAUUUUCAAUUAUUUUUCCUUCAUAUUUGGAUUGUAACUUAAUCUCAAAUGAAAAGUUUAUAAAAAAAUAUUUAUACUUUCAUUAAAAUUAAUAUUUACAAAUUUUUUAAAAAUCAUAUUUAAAUAAUCAAAUAUUUUUAAUUAAAAUUAAUAUUUACAGAAAUUUAAAAUACCAGAUUUAGGUAGUUUUCAAUUAAUAUUUUUCAUGAAAAUUUAUAAUUUUUUUAAUUAUCAAAUUCAUCAUUUUAUUUAUUUGUAUAGUUAUACAAUUACCAAAAAUCUUGUUUUUUUUUUAUUUAGCCGAAAGGCAAUUUAUCUUUCUUUUAUUUAUGGGCUAUCUAUUACGUGACAUUAUUUUAUUUGUGAAAAAUUAGACCAUGUCAUGGCUUAUAACUGACUAAUUUAUGAUCGAAAAGUGUAUUAAAGCUUUGGGGUUAUAACCCUGAGUGUAGUUUAGACUUUGGUUUGAUGUGACUUGAGUAUUAACUUGAAUUGGGCCAACCUGACAUAAGUUCUGACUUGACUUAUCCCUCAACUUGGGUAGAGCCUUGGUUUAAUUGGGCCUUGCCUAACUUGGGCUUCUGGGUGAAUUAGUUUUAACUUUAGUUGGGCCUUAGUGUGACUAGGCUUUGGGUAACUUGGGCCUGACAUGGCUUAUGAUUUGAUCAAUACCUUAAUUUGAGUUGGGCCUUUGUAUGACUUUAGACUUAGGACAACUUGGUUUCUUGCUUGACUUAGGGUCUUAAUAUGACCUAAACCUUGAGGUGAUUUCAGUUUUGAAUUGAAUUUGGUUUUGACGUUACUUAGACCCUUAAAUAAUGUUGAUUUAGGGCUUGAGUAGCUUGAUAAUGAAUAUGAGAAGUUUUUUUUUUUUUUUUUAACAAAUUUGGAUAUCAAGCUUGAAACUUUGAAAAUUCUUAAUAAUACAAAUACAUUUUUUAAAAUUGAAGGUUAUGUUUGGUUCUUAAAAAAUUUAAGGGAAAAUGUAAGGGAAAGAAAAUAAAGAAAAAGUAUAACUAAAAAAGUGAAGUAAAAUAAAAAAUAAAUUUAAAGUUCGAUAAAUCAUUUUUAUAUGUUACUUCAAACUCAUUUAAUUUUUUUUCUUUUUUCACAUAAAGACAAAAUAAUUUAAAAAUACAUAAAUUUCUAAUUAAUUUUAAUUAUAUACGUUUUUUUUAAUAUUUUUUAUAAUACAACCAAACAUGAAAAAAUUAUUUUUCAUAAUAUUUUUUUUUCUUUCCUUUAUACUUUCCCAUAACCAAAUACAACCACAUACUUAAAGCAUCAAAUAUUCAAAGAUGCUUCGAAAUCUUCUUUAAAAAAGGUAGUCAUUUUUUUUUCCCUUAAAGUUCUAAAGAUGCUUUGAAAUCUUCUUUAAAAAAGGUCUUAAAUCUUUUUUAAAGUAAGUUUUAUAAAUUUUUAAAUGAACUUCUAAGAGUUGGACAAAGUUUGAAAGAGCUAUAAACAUGUACCUUUUGCCUUUUUGAAUUAUUUUGAAAAUUUAGGAGCCUCGGAGGAUCAUAUAUAAUUUUCUCUAUUCUCUUAAAAUUUUAUUUUUUAAUUAAAAUAAAUAUUUAAAAAAUUUUGGCAAUCGAAUUUAAAUAAUUUUCAUCUUAUCCUUUAGAUGAACUCUUAUAUUUAUUUUCCAACCAUCAAAUUCACUUUUUUUUUUUUUAAUAAUUUUAGUUUAAUGAUCAAAAUCCAUAUUUCUUUAUUCAAUAGAAGAUACAUGUCUUUUUCUUUUAUGUGCUUUCAAAUAACAUACAUUAUUUUAUUUGUAACAAAUUUAAGUUAUACGAUAGAUUUAAUUUCUCGUAAGUUUAAAUUAAUUAUGAAGAUUCUAUCAUUUUCUCUUUAGUCCAUAAAUUAAAUUAAUUUAUAUAUUUGUGAAAAUGUCAAAAUAAAAUAAUUCCUUUUAGUUUCUUUAAUUUGAUCUCAAAUUUGUUAAGUGAUUACAAAAAGUUCAAUGAAAAUUUGAAUUUCUUAAAAAAUUAUUCAUAGAAAUACGUUGAGCCCCAAUAGUUGACUGGGCAUUUAAGGGUAAAACAUUGUUUUCAGUGCAAGGUGUGAGAGUGGUAUCAAAUCAAAACAAAUUUUAAAUACUAAAUCUAGCCUCAAAAGGUUAAUGUUGUCUGGUGAGAUAAUAGGGAUAAGCUUCACUAUCAAGUGGGAAAUAGCCGAGUUACCCAUUAAGACCCUUAAAUGACACCGUUUAAUGAUGAAGGAGAUUGUGGUGCAAAGAUAACCAAAAGAUUUACCUAAAAGUUGUCAAUGAAUUGAACCAUCCAAUAAUUCAAAAAGUCAUGUUAAUUAUUUAUUUUAUAUAUGUUUUAAUAGCUCAUCCGAUACUUAAAAAGUUAGUUGUUUUUUAUGCUUUCAUAAUUGAUCAAUUUUUUUUUAUGAUUGAACCGAAAGCAUAACGCUAAACAUUUUUUUUCCUUCUACUUUUGGUUUCCUUUAUUUCUUUUUCUUUUCUCGCUUUUUCUUUAUGUUAAAGUCCAAUGAAACUUAGCCAAGGUGGGGACGUGUCUUAAUAAUGCUAUAUUAAUAAUCAUAUAAUAUGGUAGAUUUAUAUUAAUUUAAUUCGAAUUUUCUUCCACGUUGUUAUUUCAUAGUAUCGUUUUUCAUGCAUUACACUGAAUCAAACAUCAUCUUGUCAACUACUGCAUGCUUCGAUAUUGCCUUGAAUUGACGCAUGGUGGUGGAUCACACGUGGGCGGGAGGAGCUUUUAGUAGUCCACGACACGUCUCUCCUUCCUCGGGAAUGGAAAAGCCGGAUAAUGCUAUUUUUGGUUUUCAAAAUAUCGGGGGAAAAUAUGAAUCAGAAUAGAAAAAAUAAUUUAUUUUAUAAGUUGUUUUAAAUUCAUUUUUUAUAUUUAUAUAAUUAUUUUUAAAAUAUUUUCAAAAAAUAAAAAUAAAAAUAGGAAAAAAUAAUUAAAAUAUAUUUUCAAAAAAUUCCAUGUUUUCUUUGCAAAUUCUUAUAAAACACUUUUCUAUCAAACAAAUCAUUCAACCUGUUUUCGAAUUUAAACCAGAAAACUAUUUAUGUGUUCAUGAUGAUUCCAUGGAAUGUUAAAUUUUAUAGACCGUGCUUGGAGUUUGAACCACACAAUUAUCAUGAUUCCAAAUUUGAAAUGACAGCCACCACCGCUGAUUUUAUGGCUCCGCAUGCUGGCUAAAACACCAUGCUCUUGAUCUCAUUUUUAUUAAAAGAUAAAAAGAAAAGAAAUAAUAAAAUAAAAAGUGAAAAAAAUAAAAAAUAAAUUUAAAAUCAAUAAAUCAUUUUUUAUAUGUUAAUUUAAACUCAUUUAACUUAUUUUAAGAUUAAAUAAUUAAAAAAUACUUAAAUUUCUAAUUAAUUGUAAUUAUAUUUGAUUUUUUAAUAUUUUUCAUACUACAUCCAAAUAUAAAGAAAUCAUUUUUCUUUUCUUAUAUUUGAUUCUUGAAAAUUUUGAGGGAAAAUGAAAAGGAAAUAAAAUAUAGAGAGAAAAAUAAGAAAAAAAAUAUAAAGGAAAAUAAAAAAUAAAUUUAAACUUAAUAAAUUAAUUUUGUAUGAUUUUUCAAAUUCAUUUUAGUUAUUUUCAUUAAUUAUAUAAAUAUUAAAUAAUUUUAAAAUACAUAAAAUUUUAACUAAUUUUAAUUAUAUUUGAUUUUUUUUGUCUUUUUCACAGUAAAAUGAAAUCUAAGAAAAUAAUUUUUCUUAAUAUUUUUUUUUCUUUUUAGUACUUUUUUAUAAGAAAAUGUAGCAUUUGGUUAUGUUUAUUUAUUUUUACUCGCUUUUCCUUUCCUUCAAAUUUUUUUCUUUUUUUCUUUAUGGGAAUAAAAAAAGCCUUAAACUAAGUUUGAUUAUCGGAAAGUUGGAAAAAAAUGUGAAGGAAAGAAAAAAAAAAGAUUUAAAUUUAAUAAAUUAUUUUUAUAGGUAUAUUUUUAUCUAUUAAAACAAGAUUAAGUAAUUUAACAACAUAUAAAUUUCAAAUUAACUUUAAUUAAAUGUGAUUUUUUUAUAUAAAACUAAAUCUUUAAAUUGAUAAAUGGUAGUUUUUUUUCAUUCAUUCUUUCAUUCGUUCAUGUACAGAGUAUGUAUAGAGGGUAAUCACCAUUCUAAGAAUGGGAAAGAAUGAUACAAGGAAAUAACAACUAAUAUCCUAAUAUCUCAAUAUUCCUAAUAUCUCAAUAUUCUUAAUAUCUCAAUUUUCCUAAUAUCUAAACAUUCAUAAUAUCUCAACACUAAAUAAUAUAAGGAAAGAAUGAUAUAAGGAAAACAUUCCUAAUAUCUCAACACUCCCCCUCAAGUUGGUGCAUAGAUGUCACACAUGCCCAACUUGUCUAAAAAUUUUGAGAACACUUGACUUGAGACAACUUUGAUGAGGAUAUCGGCCAAUUGAUCUUCUGAUGGAAUCUUAGGCAAUUCCACAAUCUUAUCAUCCAACUUUUCCUUAAUGAAGAAUCUAUCCACCUCGACAUGCUUUGUAUGAUCAUGUUGUACUGGAUUAUGAGCAAUGUCACAUGCAGCUUUAUUGUCACAAAACAAUCGGAUUGGUUGCCUAGAUAGGUAACCUAAAUCCUGUAAGAGGAGUCUUAGCCAUAAUGUCUCACAAAGUCAUAGAGUCAUACCUCUAAAUUCCGCUUCUGCACUUGAACGAGCGACGACAUUCUGCUUCUUACUUUUCCAUGUCGCAAGAUUACCACCUACAAAGGUAAAGUAACCAGAUGUAGAUCGUCUAUCAUUCACUGCACCGACCCAAUCAGCAUCAGUAUAUACUUCUAUACUCUGAUGAUUAACAUUUUUAGCGAACAAAAUUCCCUUCCCAGGAGCAUUCUUCAAAUACCUCAAAAUACGCAUGACUGCAUUCAUAUGUUGCUCUCCAGGAUUAUGCAUGUAUUGACUCACUACACUCAAUGCAUAAGCAAGAUCUGAUCUUGUAUGAGCUAAGUACAUUAAUCUUCCUACAAGUCUCCGGUAUCUUCCCUUAUCGAUUGAUACUUGAUUAGGUUCAACACACAAUUUCAGACCUUCUUCUAUUGGUGUAUUAACAGGUUGACAUCCUGACAUUCCAGUCUCCUGUAAAAGAUCUAAGGCAUACUUUCCUUAAGACAGAAAAAUUCCUUCACUUGAUCGAGAAACUUCAAUCCCAAAAAAGUAUUUCAGAGGACCUAGAUCUUUCAUUUCGAAUUCUCUAGAUAGAUAAUUUUGCAGAGUUUUUAUUUCUUCAGGAUCAUUUCCUGUAACUACCAUGUCAUCCACAUAUACGAUGAGUGCCGUAAUCUUACCAUGUUGUUUUUUCUGGAACAAAGUGUGAUCUGAAUUACUUUGACGAUAGCCAAAAGCUCUCAUUGACUUUGUGAACCUUCCAAACCAUGCUCUCGGGGAUUGCUUUAACCCAUACAAUGACUUCUUCAAUUUGCACACCUUCUGACAUUGCUUUUCUGACACCAUGCAUCCUGGUGGAAGAUCCAUAUAUAAUUCUUCAAAUAACUCGCCAUGCAGAAAGCCAUUUUUCACAUCGACCUGUUGUAAUGGCCAAUCUAGGUUUGCAGCUAAAGACAGUAAUACUCGAACUGUGUUGAUCUUAGCUACAGGUGCAAAUGUCUCUGUGUAGUCAAUUCCAUAAGUUUGAGUGUACCCUUUUGCUACCAGUCUUGCUUUAAAUCGUUCAAUACUACCAUCUGUCUUGUACUUCACAGUAUAGAUCCAACGACACCCAACUGGCUUCUUUCCUGGUGGACAUUCUACGAGUUCCCAUGUUUCAUUCUUCUGCAAUGAUUUCAUCUCUUCAUUCAUAGCUGCUUUCCACCUUGGAUAAGCUAAGGCUUCCUGCACACUGUUAGGAAUAGCUACAGUAGAUAAUUGAUUUACAAAUGACUUAUUUGAUUCAGACAAACGAUGGUUAGACACAUAGUUGCUCAUGGGAUAUUUGACUUUGGUAGACAAUUCAGGUUCAUACGUGGGUUUAGGAAUACAUCUAUUAUGACGGUGUGGUAACCGUUUCAUGGAUGGGUCAGGUUCCAAAUUAAGAACACCCUCAACAGAUGACGAUUGGUUUGGUAUUUCAGUGAAGACAUCUUCGGACCCAAAUUGUUGACCACUCAUAUCCAACUCACCCGCUUCCUGAUUCACUAGUUCAGACUGUCCAGAUUCAUUCUCCUCAGAGAUAUGAUAAUCAUAAUCGAGAGUCUGAAUUUCCUUAUGGUACUCCCCCUGAAGUUCAGACUCAGAUGAAAAAUACAUCGAAUCUUCAUGAAACACCACAUCCAUUGUAAUAUACAUUUGUCGAGUUGGAGGAUGGUAACAUCGAUAUCCCUUUUUGUGCAAUGCAUAUCCAACAAACACACAUUGCAAUGCAUGAGAAGUUAACUUGGUGCGUUGGUGUUUGUGUAGAUGCACAAAUGCCACAUAACAAAAAACACGAGGAGGUAGAUUUGGGACAGUUGGGGCAACUACGACAUUAGUAAGAGUUUGGAGAGGUGUUUGGAAGUUAAUUGAGCUGGAAGGUACCCGAUUGAUCAAGUAUGCGGCAUAUGUGAUUGCUUCUCCCCAAUAAGAUAUCGGUGUUUUUGCUGCUAUCAAGGAAGCACGAACAACCUCUAACAAGUGCCGAUUUUUUUGUUCAGCGACUCCAUUUUGCUGGGGUGUAUUGGAACAAGUAGUCUGAUGAAUGAUGUCAUGUCCUUCCAAAUACUUUUGAAGAUCAGAACUUUGAUAUUCUCCACCAUUAUCACUACGCAGAACCCGAACCUUUGCAUUGUACUGAGUUUCAAUCAUUUUAUGAAAAUUUUGAAACAAUAAGUUCACUUCAUCUUUGGUCUUCAUCAAACAUAACUAUGUCAUUCUAGUACAAUCAUUAAUAAAAGUAACAAACCAACGUGAGCCACUCAAAGUUGGGACUUUGAAUGGGCCCCAAACAUCAGAAUGUAUAACCAUAAAAGGAAACGAACUUUUGUUUAAAAUUAACGGAAACGAAACACGAUGGCUUUUAGCCAAUUCACAAAUAUCACAAUGGAAACCAGAAAUAUCACUUUUUGCAAACAAACUAGGAACCAAUUUUUUUAAAUAACCAAAGGAAGCAUGUCCCAUACGUCGAUGCCACAACCAAAUUUCAGAUUUUUUCUUCUCCCCCUCAUAUCCAUCUGCUAUCAAGGCUUGUUGCAACUUAUUUGAAUCCUUUAACUACAAGUCUAAGUAAUAGAGUUUUCCCUGCUUAAUACCACAACCAAUCGUCUGUCUUGUUUGGAUGUCCUUAAUCACACAAAAUUCAGGCCAAAAAAUGACAAUACAAGAUAAGGCUGCAGUGAUUUGAGAAACUGACAAAAGAUUGUAAUCUAAAGAUGGAACAACUAAAACAGAAUCCAAAUUCAAAGUAUCAGUAAGAGUUAAGGAUUCUUCCCCAAUGACUAGGGUUGUGUUACCAUUGGCUGUGGAAACAAUUUUUUGUGAGGAAGGUCUAAGGAAUGAAACCUGUCUAGAAUCAAAAGUCGUAUGAUCUGUAGCACCAGAAUCAAUUAUCCAUGCACUAUUAAUAACAGGUGUAAAAGUAUUUAAAAACUUACCACCAUGAUCUGUAGCGGCUACCAAUACUGAGACUUUCUCAGCAACAUUAGCCUCUGUUUUUAUUUCGGCAACAGUUGCAUUCGAGGUUUUCUUGGAAUCCUUCUUCCGUUGAUCACGAUUAUUAUCAUUAAUAACAAAGUGUUGAUAGCCUAAACAUGAUCUAAAGGUCCAUAGUUCAAACCCUCGGUUCCUCAUUGUUUUCAUGGUUAUACCAAGAGUCGUUGCUUUGAAAUUGUGGGAUAUCCAGACUGGUGGGAUCAGUCUUAUUGCAGUGAGAGCAUUUGAAGGUUGACUUAUCAAUAUUAGGGCUUGUCUUAGGAUGGAUGAUCGCUGUUGGACUACCAUAACGACAAAAUAUCCAGGAUUUCAGUUUCAUGGCUCUGAUACCAUCUUCAAAUUGAUAAAUGAUAGUUUUUUUUCAUUCAUUCUUUCAUUCGUUUAUAUACAGAGUAUAUAUAAAAGGUAAUCACCAUUCUAGGAAUGAAAAAGAAUGAUACAAAGAAAUAAUGAUAUAAGGAAAUAACAACUAAUAUCCUAAUAUCUCAACUUUACUAAUAUCUCAAUAUUCUUAAUAUCUCAACUUUCCUAAUAUUUAAACAUUCCUAAUAUCUCAACACUAAAUAUAAGAAAACCAUUUGUUUUUAUAAAUAUUUUUUUUCCCUAGGCUUUAGGUCAUGUUUGGUUUUUUUGAAAGUAUUAAAAAAAUUGCUAAAAAAAAUGAUUUUCUCAUUAUUUCAAGAAAAAUAUAAAAAAAUAAAAUUAAAUAAAAACGGAUGUAUUUUUAAAUUAUUUAAUAAUUUUAUUGAUAGAUUAAAAUAAAUUAAAUGAAUUUAAAAUUAAAAAAAAAACAAGAUUUAUUGACUUUGAUUUUUUUUUUCUUCUACUCUUUAUUCUCUUUCUUUACGUUUUCUCACAAAUUUUCCUCCCUAUUCUCUUUCCUUACAUUUUCUUUUAAAUUUUCCAUAAAUUUCCUCUUUAUUCUCGAUUCUUGCACCUUCUCUUAAGUUUUCAAGACACUUUCCUGGAAACCAAUCAUGACGAGCAUUUUCCUGGAACCAACCAUGACCAAAGUAAACUGGGGGAGAGUUUCCUCGAAAGAUUCCGUCGACAGGGAACGCCAACUCAUUAAGACUUUCCUUAUAGGAGACGGUGGGGAAAGACAGACCAUUUUUAUAGUUUGGACGCCAACGUGAAAUGGAAGCCAAAUUGAGUUGCAGGUUCGGGUACUCUGACGAGUCUGAUCUUAGACUAGACCAACAUCAUUCAAACCUCGUCAUUUGUUAACGCGGAUUCCUUCAAUAAGUUUUAGCAGCCCCUUAUAAAAUAUGUUUGGUCUCUAAAAGGAGCCGGUUUGCUUUUGUCCGAUCAAAUUUCAAAAUGUUUUUAGUGUUUUUGAAAUUAGAAAGAACGAGAAUACUUUCUGAAUUAUUGUCAAAUACAUUCUGAAAUUAAUGUUGUAACACUAACAAGUGAUGGGAAACCCAUCAUGGAUCAUAAUCACAAGGACAAGAAAGCAUUAACCUGAGGUCAACUUUUGGUAUGGCACACCAUCUACCCAUAUGGUUUCAUUNNNNNNNNNNNNNNNNNNNNNNNNNNNNNNNNNNNNNNNNNNNNNNNNNNNNNNNNNNNNNNNNNNNNNNNNNNNNNNNNNNNNNNNNNNNNNNNNNNNNUUUUGGUAUGGCACACAUCUACCCAUUAUGGUUCAUUCAACGCAAGCAACGAUCUAUAAUACUCACACUAAACAUUAAAAAAUAAAAUAAAAUUAAGGUGAAAAUUAUUUUUUAUUUUUAUAGAAUAAAAAAUAAAUUUUAUGUGGUGUUUUAUUUUUAAUUAUUUUAUGUAUUUAUAUAAUUAUUUUUUAAAAUAAUUUUUAGAAAAUAAGUAAAAAUAAUAAAAAGAUAUUAUUUAAAAAUAUUUAUUUUUUAUUUUUAAAAAUAAAAAAACAAAAAACAUGUUUAAUAAUUAUUAAACAUGUUUUUUAUGUUUUUAUUUCUGAAAAAUAAAAACUAUUUUUUUAAACAAUUACUUUCCCUAAAUUACUAAUAAUAAUUUAGUUAAAAUAUAAAAGUAUAUUUUUGUAUAAAGACAUCGCUGAAUAAAUAAAUGUAGGUCUUACAAGCGCGUAACCGCGUGGGGCCACCACUGAGCAAAUUUGAAAUACCAACUAGUCAAGAAGCGUUAUGCCGGAAUUGACUCGGGCAAUUGGUUCCAUUUGCCAAAGAACUAGAAGAGCGGAUCUUCUUCUUCGUCUUCCUCAUAAUUUCGUCUGUUUCGGAUCUGAGCGGUAAAUUUGUUGUAUUCGUAUAUUACAAUAAGAUCGAGCGGGCAACGCGGUGGGGGUUUCUGCUUUUUGCUGUGGUAGUUUCUGGGAAUGUAAAGCACACUUAGGAGGUGGGAGGCUUUAGAGAAUUUUCUUGGUGGUUUCGUUUGGGAGGCGGGGGAAGGGUAUAUGAAUGAGGGAGGAGUGUGGUUGUGCAGGUAGAGAAACAAGUUACAAAAGCGAUUACAAGAGCUAGUGAUGGAAAGCUAUUUGGACGAGAACUUCUCAGGAGUGAAGCCAAAGCAUUCGUCGGAUGAGGUGUUGCAGAGAUGGAGGAAUCUUUGCAGUGUUGUCAAGAACCCCAAGCGAAGGUUCCGCUUCACUGCCAACCUCUCCAAGCGUGGCGAGGCGGCUGCUAUGCGCCGCACCAAUCAGGUCUCCUCUCUAAUUCAUUACAUUUGCCUUUUAUUUGUAAAUAAGCUCUCCUAUUGGAAACCUAAAUAUUGGACUUGAUCUGGAACUUGAAUAUGGGCAUUUAUUUUUUGGGAGGCUAUGGGUUUUAAAUCUCGUUCCUUUCUCAAACCCUUUGUAACAUCCGCUCCCAGUUUCUAACAUCCUCCUAAUCGUUUAGAUAUUGUGGGCCGCGUGAGAGUCUUAAAACGCGUUCCCAAACCGUUUAGAUAUUGUCGUUAGCGUGAGAGCCUUAAAACGCGUCUACAAGCAAUUUUUUCACCCAAUCCCACAACCUUCUCCACUCCAUUUUUUUUUUUUUUUUUAAUAAUAAUUGUGAAGUAGAAGGAUGCAAAGGUUCAGCUGAACGGAAACGGAAAUAGCGAGGAUUAGGUUUCAUUGAGUUGAGAUGAAGAUUCAAGAUUAUCUUGGGCACUAGGAAGUUACCAAAAUAUUUUGAUAAACGUGGUCAAGUUUAUCAUGCCUCUUUCAAGAUCAUCUUAAACACUUAAAAACUACCAAAAUCUUUUGAGUAUUCAAGAUUGAUGGAUGUGCUCAAGAAUUAAAAACUACCAAAGCUUUGAUUUCUCUCAUUUGACUUCAGUUCUUACUUUCUCCCGACAUUCCUGGAUUUAUUGCUCAGUACUUUUAUUUGCCCAAGUUGUUUUUCCAAUGAACUUUUUAAUUCUCAACUUCAGCGAAGAAGGCUUUGCCAACACAUAAUAUCUCUUUUAACAUAACUAUGAGAAUUUGUCCUCUGUAUUGUUUAGUGACUAACUCUUUUCUGUAUUCAUAUGUAGGAGAAAUUGAGAAUUGCGGUAUUGGUUUCCAAAGCAGCAUUUCAAUUUAUCCAAGGUGAGCUUCUUCUGAAAUCAAUUAUAUCUAAUAUUUAUUAUGUUAAAACUUAAAAGGUUCUCCAAAUCGAUUCCUCUUGGGAUAUUUGCAGGUGUACCUGUCAGCGACUAUGUUGUACCUGAGGAAAUCAAAGCUGCAGGUUUUCAGAUUUGUGCUGAUGAAUUGGGAUCCAUUGUCGAAGGCCAUGAUGUAAAGAAGCUGAAAAUUCAUGGUGGGGUAGAUGGUAUUGCAGAAAAGCUAUCCACAAGUACAACCAAUGGGCUUACUGCCGACAAUAAAUUGCUGAAUCACAGACAAGAGAUUUAUGGGAUAAAUAAAUUCACUGAAACUCAAGCUCGAGGCUUCUUGGUAUUUGUUUGGGAAGCCCUUCAUGACAUGACACUCAUAAUCCUUGCUGUGUGUGCGCUUGUGUCUCUGAUAGUUGGCAUUGCAAUGGAAGGGUGGCCGGUGGGGGCCCAUGAUGGCCUUGGGAUUGUUGCUAGUAUCUUGUUGGUUGUGUUAGUCACGGCAACAAGUGAUUAUCGGCAAUCUUUACAGUUUAGGGAUUUGGACAAAGAGAAGAAGAAGAUCUCCAUUCAGGUCACAAGGAAUGGAUAUAGGCACAAAAUGUCGAUAUAUGAUUUGCUUCCUGGUGAUAUUGUGCAUCUUUCUAUUGGAGACCAGGUCCCUGCUGAUGGACUUUUUGUUUCAGGAUUUUGUGUGUCAAUUGAUGAAUCAAGUUUAACUGGAGAGAGUGAACCGGUAAUGGUAAGUGCAGAAAAUCCUUUUCUGCUGUCUGGAACUAAGGUUCAAGAUGGAUCAUGCAAGAUGAUGAUUACUACUGUUGGAAUGAGAACCCAAUGGGGUAAAUUGAUGGCCACUCUUAGUGAAGGGGGAGAUGACGAGACCCCAUUGCAAGUUAAAUUGAAUGGAGUGGCAACGUUUAUUGGGAAGAUAGGNNNNNNNNNNNNNNNNNNNNNNNNNNNNNNNNNNNNNNNNNNNNNNNNNNNNNNNNNNNNNNNNNNNNNNNNNNNNNNNNNNNNNNNNNNNNNNNNNNNNNNNNNNNNNNNNNNNNNNNNNNNNNNNNNNNNNNNNNNNNNNNNNNNNNNNNNNNNNNNNNNNNNNNNNNNNNNNNNNNNNNNNNNNNNNNNNNNNNNNNNNNNNNNNNNNNNNNNNNNNNNNNNNNNNNNNNNNNNNNNNNNNNNNNNNNNNNNNNNNNNNNNNNNNNNNNNNNNNNNNNNNNNNNNNNNNNNNNNNNNNNNNNNNNNNNNNNNNNNNNNNNNNNNNNNNNNNNNNNNNNNNNNNNNNNNNNNNNNNNNNNNNNNNNNNNNNNNNNNNNNNNNNNNNNNNNNNNNNNNNNNNNNNNNNNNNNNNNNNNNNNNNNNNNNNNNNNNNNNNNNNNNNNNNNNNNNNNNNNNNNNNNNNNNNNNNNNNNNNNNNNNNNNNNNNNNNNNNNNNNNNNNNNNNNNNNNNNNNNNNNNNNNNNNNNNNNNNNNNNNNNNNNNNNNNNNNNNNNNNNNNNNNNNNNNNNNNNNNNNNNNNNNNNNNNNNNNNNNNNNNNNNNNNNNNNNNNNNUAAUUGAAAAAAUAGGCACGUGUACCUGCAAUGAGCUAGUUGAUAAGACUUAUGUGGCCGGUUAUCUUGAUUGAAAAAUCAGGGGAAUUCAUUCCAUUAUCUUUAUUAUUUUGGCAUCUAUUAGAGAUGUGUAUAGCUUAGAUAUAAAUAAAAGUCAUUGCUUGAUACAAUCUACAAAUUCUCAUUGUUUGCACUUCCUCCAUUGUGAACAGUACCAAAUUCUAAUUAAUUCUGCCCAUGAACUUCAGGUGGCUAAAGAGAGUGCUGAUGUAAUAAUCUUGGAUGAUAAUUUCUCCACAAUUGCGACUGUGGCCAAAUGGGGACGUUCAGUCUACAUAAAUAUUCAAAAAUUUGUACAGUUCCAACUUACGGUUAACGUGGUUGCAUUAAUAGUCAACUUCUCUUCAGCUUGUUUGACAGGUAAGAAGACCCCAUCUUGCUUCUUCCAUUUCAAAGUUACUUCCUUGUUUUGUCAAAUAAACUUCUUCUUUUUUCUCCCUACAUUUUUUUUAUUCCUUUUUUUUUUCAAACACUUAAGGAAAUGCUCCCCUCACGGCUGUUCAGCUUCUGUGGGUCAACAUGAUCAUGGAUACACUGGGAGCUCUUGCAUUAGCAACCGAGCCACCUACUGAUGACUUAAUGAAGAGAGCACCAGUUGGAAGAAGAGGAAAUUUUAUCAGUAAUGUCAUGUGGAGAAAUAUCCUAGGCCAGUCCCUAUAUCAGUUUCUGGUAAUAUGGUAUCUUCAGGUAGAAGGGAAAGCAAUAUUUCAGCUCAAUGGCCCUGAUUCUGAUCUGAUCCUGAAUACACUUAUUUUCAACUCGUUUGUCUUCUGCCAGGUACUUUUGGAAGUCCUCUUUGUAAACUUUGUUUCAAGCAUCUAUGUGAUAAAUGAAUGGUAGAUUAUGAUAGGCAAGUUUAGCUUUUUUUUUCAUUACAGGUUCUGUUUGGUAUUUCAAAUUAUGAUUUAGAAUUUAUCUUAUCACACCCUAUGAGUAAAUUGACUUUGCCCAAAUAAAUUCUCAUUUAAAUGACUAGAGGUUGUGAUGUAGAACAACUCUAGGAUGGUUGCCUACACUCAAAAGUAGGUGGGUUAGGGUUUUAAUUUUAGAGUAUAAGAAGAGGAACAAGGAAUGAAGCUUAUGGUAGAGAAAAAAAAGAUGAAAACCUUAAAGUCUCACUAAGACCUUCAAGGAGUUUCACCUAGAAGAAAAUCAUUGGAGUCUUACCAUUGAGGUUUGCAACAAUUGCAAUGAAAAAAAUAUAAUAUUAUUAACAUCAAUCAAUUCAUCCUUUUGAUUUAUAUCGAUGAGCUUUAUUUAUAGGUUUUUUUAAGAAAUCUAAAGUUCAUUUGGAUUCUAAUAACUUAUUAUGACUCUAAUUCUUAUUAUCUUAUAACCUAACUAGCUAAUCCUAAUUUGACUCAAUAGUAAUCAUAAUUUAAUUCUAAUUAAUAUUAAUUCUAAUUUAAUUCCAACUAAUAUUAAUCCUAAUUUAAUUCCAAAUAAUACUAAUCCUACUUUAAUUGCAACUAAUACAAAUUCCCUUUCUUAAAGGACUGAGUUUUCCAAAUUUAUUAUUAUCCCUUCCUUCCCAUGAGUUGCAAAAGAAACGGAAACAUGUUCUUUCACUGUAAAGCAUGAAAAGAUAAUAUCGGGGCCCCUGGCCCAUUUAUCAUAUUAGGGAUAACAUUUUUAUUUCCAUUGUGUUCAAUACCAGAUAACUCAACAGGCUUAACCUGGGGUAUUUUCUGAAAAAUAUGUUAAUUGGGAUUGACUUUCAGAAAAUUGGAAUUCAUUACAUUUACUAUUUACAACUGAAUAUUCUCACUGGAUCUUCUGCUGAUUUGUUCCACUCCUUCUUAGGUUCUCAGUUCACCCAUCUUCUUGAUCACAUGAGAGGGCUAUUAGAUGAAAGCCUUUCCACUAAUAUGUCUACUAAUUUAUUUUCUAGUUUUCGACUAUUAAACUCUUCUGAGAUGUCCUUUCUUAAUUCGAGAUAUCUCAGUUUGUAACCCUGUUGAGGACAUCUAACUUAUGAAAAGGAUCAUGGCUUAAUUCUGCAGGUUUUCAAUGAGAUAAGCUCCCGAGAAAUGGAGAAAAUCAAUGUAUUCAAAGGCAUACUGGAUAACUAUGUAUUUGCUGCUGUUCUCACUUCCACUGUCCUUUUCCAGAUCAUAAUCAUCGAGUACCUGGGUACAUAUGCAAACACAUCACCUCUCACUCUAUCUCAAUGGUUCCUCAGUGUUUUUAUUGGGUUCCUAGGCAUGCCAAUCGCUGCGGCCUUAAAGAUGAUCCCUGUGGCAAGUCAAUGAGUGAGAGAUGCUGCUUUUUAAAUUUUGUGCCCUUUCCUUGGAACAGGGCUUAUUGCAUGUGGGUUUAGAAAAACCUCAAAAGGUUGACAUGUCAUUUUACAAGUUAUUGUAAGAUUCAACGUUUUCUUUGUUUUUAUUAGCUUUUUGUGGAAACCUAAAGAAGAAUAGGGCCCUCUGCUUGGCUGCAAGAUGUAACUUCAGAUGUAACCAUUUUAUUCUUCAGUAAUGGGAAAUUCUUUUGUUAAGUUUCUUGUAAUUUUAUUCUGAUACCAUUUAUCCUGUUUUGUUGUUUAUGAUUAGUGAAGGAAAUUCUUUUGUUAAGUUUCUGGUAUUUUGUUCUUGUGGUAUUUACUAUUUACUCUUCUUUAUUCUUGUUUAUAACUGCCAGUUCUUAUUAUUUCUAACUUGUGAAUAAUGUCUCAGUAGAUUGCAAUGGUUUUGUUUAGUUAAAUGAUUCCUAAGAAAUGGUCAUGGGCAUGGAAAUUUGUUGAAAAUAUCAGCGGCCAAUUCUAAAAAACAAAAUAUUUAGUGAGACAAAAAUUGAUUAAAGAGAUGAAAAUUCAUUAAAAUUUAUGAAAAAUUGAUUUUUUUUUUAAGAAAUGAUAAAAUAAAUAAUAUUACACAUUAAAUAUAUAUAUUGUUAUGAGAAUUGAUAGAAUUCAUAAAUUUGUAAUAUUGGUCAACAAAAAAUAUGAAUUUUAAAACUAUUCUCAUCAAUACUAAUGUAGGGAUAUAUUUUGAUACCGCCUUUGGUAAAAUUUAAUAUUUAUUGUUUAAUUAUUUAAUGAUUUAAGUUAAUUUUAGAUUAAGUUACAUUUAAAUUAUUAACUUAAAACUUAUUAUUUAAUUCUUAUUUUAAGUAUUAAAAUUAUUUAAUAAAAUUAACUUAAAGCUUAAUUUAAAUUAUUAAAUUAAUAUACUUAUUAUCAUAAAUUAAAAAGUAAAGGAAGUCAAAAUAGUAGUGGAGAUCACGAAAUAUAAAAAAAAAUUAUAAAAGUAAUUAAGAUAAAUGAGAAUAAAAAUAUAAAAUUAAGAAUAAAUUAAUUAUUUUUACUUAUUAUUUAAAGUUAUUUUUAACUUUAAGUCAUACUUUUAAAUUAUUUUACUUAAUACAUUUAAUUUGCUUAAUGAUUUAAUUAAAUCAUUUUAAGUUAUUAAGUUUGCUUAUGAAACACCCACUAAACAUGGCUUUCUAAAAUAUCACCGUUUCUCCAUUCUAGGAAGUGUAAUCCCCCUAACACAUUAUUACAUGCUUUCUGCCUUAUGUUUCACUACCGAAAGUUGUAGACAUUAACUCCAUACUUAUUCUUCCAUCAUAGAGGGUCCCUCGGAUUCACAAGUAUAAUUGAUCCAAAUAGGUUCCAGAAGUGCCCUUGCUUUCUGUAAUUUCUGCUUUCCAUGUUCAUUACCGCUUGGUUCCUCAACUUGUCUCUCAAUUUCAGGAUAGAUGCCUUCCAGAGACGCCAACAUCAUAUCAAGUCCUUGCCACCCUCUAUGUUCAUGUCCCACUAAUUUCACACAGACAAAGUGAAGGAGUCCCAAUAACAACCCGAAGUCCUCUCUUUCCAGUGCAACAGCUGAAGCCGUCAUGAAAAUCUUCCCCACUGCAUCUAAUAUACUGGAGUUUCCUCUCAGCAAUAGAGUCAUCAUUCCUAUAAGUUUCUUAAAGGACGAAAGUUUCCCUGGUUCUGAAACUCUUUCAGCCUCCUCAUUUGGGCUGAUAUUNNNNNNNNNNNNNNNNNNNNNNNNNNNNNNNNNNNNNNNNNNNNNNNNNNNNNNNNNNNNNNNNNNNNNNNNNNNNNNNNNNNNNNNNNNNNNNNNNNNNUUGAUCAAAAACAUGUUGUUAAGUUUGUCAAUUUAUUUCAUGUCUACUUUUGCAAUUUCAAGGCGAGUGAGCUUAAGUUUUAAGUAGAUUCAAAGGGAUUUCCUUUGGGAUGAAGGGAUGCGAGAGAAAAAAUCUUAUUUGGUUAAUUGGUCUACCAUUUGUUUCGACAAAAAGAGGAUGGAGUGUUUGGCAUUAAAAAUCUCCACGCUCUUAACAAGGCUCUCCUUGGUAAAUGGAGUUGGAAAUUCACUUCCAAGAGAGAGCUAUAGUGGAAAUAGGUCAAAUUAAGGAAGUAUGGGAUAGGAGAAGGGGGUAGUGCUUAAGGGAGGUGAGGAACAACUAUGAGGGGUGGGGUUGAUGAGGGCUAUUAGAAAUGAGUGGAAAGUUUUUAGAAAUAUAAAUCUCCUCGUCAAGGGUAAUGGCAAAAAUGUUUUAAAAGGCUAAAGGCGGUUUUGAGGAGUUUUGCCCAAAUGAGGCAAAAUGUAAGCAUUGAAGUGGAACAAGACGUAAGCCUCAAAUUCAAGAAAAAUAAAUAAAUAAUACUGAAAAAGAAGAAGAAAAAAUCUCAAAAAAUUAAAAUUAAAAUUAAAAAAUCACAUGAAAAUUGAACAAUAAGAAAACCAUAAAAUUCAUAAUAAUCAAAUUAAUUGUUUUCUCUUUCCUUCUUUUAUAAUCUAACUCUCUUUCAUGGCUUUAUCAAAAUCUCUUUAACACUAGCAUCACUAUCACUAGUAAGGAUCAUCCAUGGAAUCAUAAUCAUAUCUAAUUGUUGUAUUAUGCUCCAUAUCCAUGUUAAUGCAUAAGCAUUCUUCUUCUUCAUCUAUCAAUUAUACUAGUCUUUCUUCUUCCUAAUCUCUUUAUUCCCUCUCCAUUUAAAGGAUUAAUUGAUAGCCAACCAAGCCUUUACUUUAUAAAUGCUUAAUCAUAGUUUUUUUUUUUUUUUUCUUCUAAGGCAAAAUCGAAUACAUAUUAACAACACUUAAGAAAAGAGCACACCAAAGUAUACACGAUGUAUACAAUAUUUUGGUGUGCAUAUUGAAUAGGCACCGGUAGGCAAGUAAAAAAAAUCAAAAACAAAAAAAAACAAGUUCCUUCUCCUUAAUUGGAUCUAAGUCAAUCAAUAAAUCUUAUCAUAAUCAUUAAAUGAUCAUCUAUGUACACAUUAAGCCUAGUCUUAAACUCAAGAAAAAACUUUAAAAUAUAUACCAAGACCUAACAAAAGCAAAAUUCAUUAAAUUCGUUAAACAUUGAGGCUUGAACAUCUUAUUAUAAAAUACAUAAAAAAAGCCUUAAACCCAUUAAAACCUUUUGAAUAUUUGAGGCUUAAGCCUUAAUAGCCUUCAAGAGUUAUGAAUCUUAAUAGGCUCAAGGCUAAAGCCGCAAUAGCCUUCUCACUUAAUGGCAAGGUAAAAUUCUAGAAAGACAGAUGGUGCAAUGAAUCUUCUUUGGAAAAGCCUUUCUCGGAGUUAUUUUAUAUAACCGUUCAUCACGGAUAGCAUAAAUAUGGGAACCAGUUGUGGAGAGGGGUUGGUGGAGUCCCCGCUUUCACAGGCAAUUCCACGACUAGGAAUUAGGCGGGGAAAUCUUUUUUUAGCAAUUGCAAUCAAUCUCAAUUAGAAGGAAUGAAGAAGACAAAUUAGGUUGGAAAAAAAGCAACAAGGGCCAGUUCACAGUCAAAUCUUUCUAUGCAUCCUUAACCAAAGAAGAAGUGAGCCUUUCCCUGCAAGUAUUGUUUGGAAUUCAUGGGUGCCAACAAAAGUGAAUUUCUUUACUUGGGAAGUUAUUUGGGGAAAAUUUUAACUCUUGAUCAGCUUAUGAGAAGGUGUUAGUUUGUUCCUAACAAAUACAAAAAGUGUAAAGAGGGCGAAGAGUCGAUUGAUCAUUUGCUUCUCCAUUGCUCCAAAGCGAUAACCCUAUGGCAGUUGGUUUUUUCUAUGUUUGGAGUGGCUUGGGUGAUGCACUCUUCCAUUAGAGGCAAUCUUUUGGGAUGAUAUGGUUCUUUUGUGGGGGAAGAAGAGGAAGAGAACUUGAAAGGCUACUCUUUUAUGCCUGUUUUGGACAAUAUGGAGCAAAAGAAAUAGGAAGUCUUUCGAAGGAGUGGAACAGUCGGAUCAAGUGAUCAAGACUUCUGUUGUAUGUCUUCUUGGAUUGGGCUAGGGUAUACAUAGAUGAGCUUUCUAUGUGAAUGUUAGACGUCAAAGGCUAUGGGUUGGUUCCUGGGUACCUAACCUUAAGAACUCAAACUAUGGUCUGAAGGGCUAGCAACUCAUUAGCCCAAAGGAGGUUGCUUUCAAGGUUCAGUGUGAAAGGAAGGGCUUCUACACCCAGUUCAUCAAAAGCAUCAAAUCAGAAAUUGACGCCUAACACUCAGGAUUCCAUCCUGUUCUUUGCUCACUCCCUAAAGUGAGAAUCUCAGUUUGACCUCUUUUCUUUCCAGUUAGACUGCGCUUCAUACUUGAGCAUGCUUUUUAUUGCUCUAUCCAGAAGACGGGAGUCAGUCUUUCCUUGUUAAAUGGCCGGCUCUUUUCAGGCACUUUAUUUAUAGAUAUUUCUUUUUGGUUGCCUAUAAAAAAAAAUCAACUAAACAAUGCCUUACCCUACCCAUUCAACACUAAUACAACCGAUAAGUGAAAGCAUAGAAGGAGUUAUUAAGGUCAAAAUUGACACACUUCAAGAAACAAAAAUUGAAAAAGGAAAUAUACCAUCUGAAUUCUUGUGGAAAGUAAGUGGAAUGAGAUCCUCUUGCUUGAGUGGAGCCCCAGUAACAGGAUGUUUACCAAACUUCCUAAUGUACGGAAUUAUGUUCCUGCACCCAAUCUCAAAACCAAACCAAAUACUCCAUAUUAGUUAUUCAUAAGUCCAGAAAAACCUCUCCUACAGGGCACUCUAAUUAAAACUGAAUGUGACUCUGAUUCAAUUACAUAAUGUCGAAGACGGUGCCAUCUCUGGUGCACACCGGAUCCCCAAACGGCGUAAACGUGACCCUACACCAAAAUCACAAGAAAACAGACAUUAAUACAAACAAUUCGGUAUAUGUAGAUGCAUAAGUGUAGAGAGAGAUGGGAGGGAUGUACGCGCAGCAGUAGAAGGGGAGGCGUUUGAAAGGGACGGAGGCGUUUUUGGAUUUGGCGCCGCCCCAUUCGGUGGCCCACUCCGUUUUGGUUAUGAACAUGCGAUCUUUGCUGUGUUGUUUCUUCCCCAUCUUGAAUUCAGCGAAGAUAGCGAUGACAAUUAGAUAAACUAUGGAUUUUUUAAAUUCAUUCAAAGGAGCUAGGGCUCUGUUCCUCUGGUUGUACGCCGCGCUCGUUGAGAGAGAGAGAGAGAGAGAGAGAGAGAGCGAGAGAGGGUUGGUCCGACACUCGACGGCGGUGCUGCUGAACCAAAACGAUGCGUUUUGACAUAGGGCAAUGUAUUUUAUUUUUAAUGACUUUUGUUGAGAAAACGGCGUCGUUUCGACAUAGUCUCCUUAAAACGGUGCGUUUUGAAUUCCUCUCUGUGCGAAGUGAGGAAGAGAGAGAUUGGCCCGUGGUAGCGGAUGGGUGGUUCGGGGAGUGGUAGUUGCAGUAGCAGCGGAGAGGAAGACGGUGACGCUGAUUGGAAAGCAGCCAUCGACUCAGUUUCCGCCGUCGCCACCACCGCUACCAGCAAUGGUUUCGCUGCUGCCUCCAAAGAUUCAGCCGUAUCCACGGAUGGCACAAACAGCAAUCAGAAAUCCCAAAAUUUGAAGCACUAUCAAAUCAAGGUCAAAUCUCUAUCUCCCUUCGCCAUCACAUUUUCCUGAUUGUUGAUUUACAUUUGCACUCAAAUCUGUUGAUUUGAGAAGCUCGGUAGAAGACCCAAAACAUGGGAUGCUAAAAUUUGAGUAGCAAAACGUCUGUUAUUUUAGAUUUAGAAAAAAUGAAUGAUAAUCUUUAUUUCAUCUGUGUCUGGUGAACCAUGUAACUGAUUUUGGGAACCAGAUGGUCUUUAUAUCUUAAUUAGAGAAGUUAUAGUUUUGGGGUUUGAUCAUUUUCCUAGUGAUUGUGUGAAUAAAUGAAUGAUGAACAAACUCCAUGUCAGGCACAAAAGCUUUUGGAUGACAUCAUAGAAAACACCUUAGUGAUGGUGGAAGAUCUCAUUCAUAUCUCCGAUAACGAAAAGACAAAUGAAGGUGGGAUUCGGUUGUUCAAGCAUGCUCCUCCAGGGAUAGUGUUUGAUCAUAUGGGUAAGUGAAACUCAUCAAACAUUUUUACUACGUUUGGAAACUAGGUUGAUCAAUCUCCUCUUUCUGACCAUUUUGUGAUGUAUUUACACAUUGGUACCAGAAAAAAUUCAACAACCAAGAAAGAGACCAAGAAUCCUUCCAGGGAAUGAGAUUGACGAGAAAUCAAAGAAGGUUUGAUCUUUCAUCAAUGGGCAAUUUACUUGAUUCGUUAUCUAGAUUUGAUGUUGCCUAAUUGCUAUUUGGAUUGGUGUAUUGCACAGUUUAGAGGGCAACUCCGAUCUGUUGCUGUUGAUGGGGUGGAUAUAAUGGCAGCGGCAAGAGAUGCUUGUCAGAAAUCAGUAGCCAGACUUGAAGCUAAAGAUGCGGCAGCAAAAGCAGCAGCCAAAAGGGAGGAAGAAAGGGUUGCAGAACUGAAGAGAACUAGGGGGGAGAGAUGGCUACCCUCAAUUGCCCGAGAAAGGCAGAUCAAGUUGGGGAGAAGUUAACAAAUUCGAGACAUAGAAACCAUGCUACUGCAGUGACAAAAUGUAGAGGUCAUCUGAUGUGGAGCACAUCUAUUGGUCCUUUCUGAUUGUUUAUCUCAUCCAUGUGAUGACCAAUGUUGCAAAUUGUUAGGCUGAAAGACGCUAUCCUUGUGGUAAUUUGAAAUCAGUAAAAGCUAGCCCAAUAUUCAAAAGCCUUUUUGAUCGCCCCUCUUUGAAGUACUGUGUACUAUGCUUAGUGGAUUUACUUUCAUAAUUGCAAGCAGGGUUGCAGUAAAGCAUCCGAAUUCUCAUUUUGUUUCCCAUGUCAAAUGAUGAAUCGUAUGCCCAUUUCGUAUAAUACUCUGAGAGCCGUUUUUUCCUAUAUAUAUAUAUAUAUAAAAGUUUAUCUUGCUCAUGGAAUUCCGUAAUCGGAAAUGAAGGUGUGAGAUAUUGGGCUGCCGACGGGCGUAGCUUAUUUCAAAAUUGUAAGAACUAGAGAUUCCAAAUGAUCCUUUUCUUUCCGUCAAAAGGCGCAGGAGUGGACGCCACCAGAACGGAAAGGCUAAGAAAGGUGCAGGGGCGCGGCGACCAAGAAGCAUUUAGAGGUGGAGCUUUAACUUUGAAGUUUGAAGUGGGUGGUAAAUUUUGAAAUGGUGGGACCAACGAAUAUUAUAGAGGAAGCUACGCGGAAGCAACCGAGUUGCUCUUUAUGUGCAAGUUGUCAUAUGAUGAUUGAGGAUAAGCCAAUUUCGGUCCUGAGAUAGAAGUGAGAAUCAGUUGAACUCACUGAAUUCCUCACUCCCUUGGGGGCACUGGGCAGGAAAAACCCUAUUCUCCUGACAGUAUGCUUUAGAAUCUGAGGCUUUUAUAUUGGGUAUUCAUAUUUUGGUGGGGGAGGCGGUGGACUUGGUGGAAGAUGGCAGUGUUAUUGGCUAUGGUGGUUGAUGCUCUGGGUCUGUGUGUGACCACACUUUGGGAUCUGCAGGAGCGGAGGUUCUCUACCAUUUUUGAGACAGUGAGCUCUGCAGCAAGGUCAGUUACCAUGGCACUUGUGUUUUGUUUCUUGUCCGUCCAUAGACACCGUAUCGGAGACUUUGGUGUGGCCUUCAUUUGAUUUUCAAUCUUAUUGCUUCUCUUCUUAUAAGCUCGAUUGUCAAGUUAUUUGGCAAUCUUUAGCCAGAUUUAGCAUUUGGCGUUGAUGAAGAGUGCCUUCAUUUGAUUACUGUUCAUUGUGCCUUAGCUGAACAGAUUGGAUAUUGUAUCUGAUAUUAUUACUCACAGCGGUUGAAUUCAGAUGUCUUGUGGUGUGGCUACUUUCAUCCAGUUUUAGAAGGAAAUGUAUUACGGCCUUCAACAGUGUAGCUCUUUUCCAUUGACCUCAGUAAGAGGUGAAGUCUAAGCCCCAGAAAUAUCUGAAAACUGGAACCUGAUUUUACCACUGAAAGCUUUUUGUUAUUGUACCCUAAUGA
Molecule: long non-coding RNA, 57421 nt
Filed under: Vitis vinifera (wine grape)
Lineage: Eukaryota; Viridiplantae; Streptophyta; Magnoliopsida; Vitales; Vitaceae
Description: long non-coding RNA (VVIN_LNC002235)
Source: RNAcentral